Molecule: long non-coding RNA, 60128 nt
Filed under: Hordeum vulgare
Lineage: Eukaryota; Viridiplantae; Streptophyta; Magnoliopsida; Poales; Poaceae
Source: RNAcentral
UCUCGGGCAAGUAACAUACCGAAGGACAAAGGGAAUGAUAUACGGGAUUAUAUGGAUCCUUGGCAUAGAGGUUCAACCGAUAAGAUCUUGGUAGAAUAUGUAGGAUCCAAUAUGGACAUCCAGGUCCUGUUGUUGGAUAUUGACAGGGGAGUCUCUCGGGUCAUGUUUGCAUAGUUCUCGAACCCGCAGGGUCUGCACACUUAAGGUUCGGUGACGUUUUGGUAUAGUUGAGUUAUAGGUGUUGGUGACCAAAGGUUGUUCGGAGUCCCGGAUGAGAUCACGGACGUCACGAGGGUUUCCAGAAUGGUCCUAAAAUGAAGAUUCCUAUAUAGGAUUGUUUCAUUUGGCCUUCGGAAAGAUUUCGUCCAUUACCGGCAAUGUACCGGGAGUGAUGAAUGGGUUCCGGGUUUUUACCGGGAGGGGCCCACCCACCCGGAAGUGAACCUAUUAGCCCAAGGGUGGUGCACCAGCCCUUAGUGAGGCGGUGAGGCCAACCCAAGUGGGCUAUUUUGGCCAAGUGGAAAAAUCAAGGAGAAAGAAAAAAAGGAAAAAAGAGGACGUGGGAAGGAAGGAAGGGACUCCUCCCUCCAAACCAACUUGGAGGAGGAUCCCUCCUCCCUUCGGACGGUGCUCCAAGGGAAAGCCCCACCCCUUGGCUCAUCCUAUAUAUACUUGAGGUUUAGGGUUUUUUGCGACACAACUUUGCCACGUGCAACCCUAAACCUCUACUUCGUAGUUCUUCCUCUAGAUCAGUUUUCUACGGAGCUCUGGCGGAGCCCUGCAGGAAUAGAUCGUCACCAUCACCGGCGUGCCGUCACGCUACCGGAGAACUCAUCUACUUCCCCGAAUCUCUUGCUGGAUCAAGAAGGCGGAGAUCAUCAUCGAGUUGUACGUGUGCUGAACGCGGAGGUGUCGUCCUUUCAGCGCUAGAUUGGAACGAAUCGUGGGACGAUGGUGAUUUGAAUCACGAAGCUGUUCCACUACAUCAACUGUGUUUCUUAACGCUUCCCGCUUAGCGAUCUACAAGGGUAUGUGGAUCUGAUCUCCCUCUCGUAGAUGAACAUCACCAUGAUAGGUCUUCGUGUGCGUAGGCAAAUUUUUGUUUCCCAUGCAACGUUCCCCAACAAUUACAUGAGUGUGCACUCGUAUAGACUGUAUCGGGUCACGAAUGCCAUCUUAGGUAUGUCCUCGGCUCGGAUCUUCAGUUGGUAAUAUCCAGAUGUGAGGUCGAUCUUGGAAAAUACCUUGGCGCCACUUAACUGGUCAAAUAGAUCUUCAAUCUUGGGGAGUGGGUACUUGUUCUUGAUCGUGACUUCAUUGAGGGAACGGUAAUCAACGCAGAGUCUGAUAGUCCCAUCCUUCUUGGACACAAACAGAAUAGGUGAUCCCCAAGGUGAUGCACUUGGACAGAUGAAUCCCUUCCUGAGUUGCUCAUCCAACUGCUUCUUCAACUCUGCUAGCUCUUCGGAUCCCAUCCUAUAAGGCUUCUUACAGAUAGGCAUUGAUCUGUGCAUGAGCUCAAUGAUGAACUCGAUGUCUCGGUCAGGAGGCAUCCCAGGCAGCUCAUCAGGAAAGACGUCCGGGUACCCACAGACUAUUGGUACUCGGUCCAACUCUUCUUCCGAUAGGCAAUUGACCUGAGGAACUUGAGUGGAGGUAGGCCUAGGGACAUACUUGACUUCAACCCCUUGGUCACUUGUCAUGGUAAUUGCCCUUUUGGUGCAGUCUAGUAUGCUUUGGUGCCUGGCCAACCAAUCCAUACCAAGGAUCAUGUCUAAGCCUUGCGACUUAAUGACGAUGAGAUCUGUUAUGGAGCUUAUCCCAUUAAUGUUGAUCCCGACUCCUCUACAUCCUAGGUUUGUCCUUAGCACUGCUCCCGGGGUAUGAACUGCCAUUUGUUCAUUAAGGAGGGUAGGCUUCAAACCACACUUUUUCGCAAACUUUUGAGUGACGAAAGAAUGCGAAGCACCACAAUCAAACAAUAUUGUUGCUGGGGUGAAGUUGACGAGGAAUGUACCCAGAAUGCAGUCUGGGUCUUCCUGGGCUUCCUCCGCGGAGAUGUGAUUCACGUGUCCCCUGCUGUGAUACUGCUGGUUGCGGGGAGCUUGGUUCCUCCCUGGCGCUCCAUGACCUUGUCCUUGAUUGGGCGCAUUGGGGCGCUGUGCAUCGGGCUUCUUGUAAGGGCACUGCCUGGAGUAGUACCUAGUCUGACCACAUCCAAAGCAGGUAACCUGCCCUGGAACAUUGGGCUUGACUCCACUGCUGUUGGGCGGAUUGAUCACUCCCUUGGGGUUGGCAUGCUGCUGGGGCUGGUAAUUAUGGCGGAACGUUGGUGCCUUAUACUGCUACUGCUGAUAGCUGGGUUUUGUUGGGGCGGAUUGCCAGGGACGUGCCUUCUGGUUACUGGAACCACCAUUACACAUCAGCUUACACUUGCGGGUGUCAUCCGUCGCACGACGCUUAUCCUCCAGCAUGAGGGCCUUGUCUACCAGAUCGCAAAAGGUCCGGCAUUCACAAACAACCAGCUGAUACUAAAGCGACUACUGAAGUCCUUCCAUGAAGCGUUCCAUCAUCGUAGCUUCAGUGUUGAUGUCUUCUGGUGCAUACCUUGACAAAAGGUUAAAUUUCUGCAGGUACUCCUUGACGGUUCCACUGCCUUGCCUCAGAGCUUGGAAUUCCCGCUUCUUAACGGUCAUCAUUCCAAGGGGAUGUGAGCGGCGCGGAAUCCUUCCUUGAAGUCAGUCCAAGAGAUAGCAUGUCCUGCCCUCAUGAUCUGGAACCCGUCCCACCAAGCCCUGGCCGUGCCUCCGAUACAGUGAGAAGCAUAAAGGACUUUCUCGCGGUCAUCGGUGCAUUUGACCAGCGCGAGGAGGUCUUGGAUAAUGCGGAUCCAUUCAUCGGCAUCCAACGGUUCAGUUGUCUCCGUGAAUAUGGGAGGCGUAGUCCUCGUAAACUCAGACAGAGCGAAGCGACUAUUGCCAUUUCCAUUCUGCAGCGGAUUGUUCACUAAGACCUGAGCCAACUGUUCGAUGGCGGCAUUGUUGGCUUGACAUUCCUCUCGGAGAGCCUCGAGGAACUGAGCCACGGUCAUGCUCUCUAGAGGAGGCGGUGGCGGGGGAAUGUUGCCUUGCUGCUGCUCGGGGUGUUCUCCAGCUUGGGCAGACCCACCGGUUCCUGGCUACUGGCUAGAAGUGCCAGUGACGGGGUUGCUGAAGGUGUUGGGGCGAGUAGAAAUCACCAUCCUAUUUGGGAGCAGACAGGUCCAUAUUCUGAAGUGGUCGGGGAAUCAUAAGGGAUGAUGCUCCUAGAUAAGGGGGUCCAGUACUUUGCAAGUGGGUGAGACAAAAAGGUUUGAGGAAACUAAUGCAAUUACUUAAUUAAAACAAGUGAUGUAGUCGAUUACAAGCUGCCUAAGACAGAAAUGCGGCUUGCAUCAAAACAUGAACAGGAAAUACACUACACUCAUGGUUCUCAUGAACCGAUACAUGGACUCGACUUCGUAGGGGAGACUCCUAACUUGCCUAAGACGUUCCUCUAAGCAACAGACUGCUCGGUCUCGUAUGCAGGCUCCACAUGGUCUUCGUCUUCAUCCUCGUUGGUGUCUUCUUCCUUCGGAGCUGUGGGGGAAGGAAGAGGUCCAUCACGGCGUCGCUUUGUUGGUGAAGUGAUGAGGAGCUCCGUGUAUUCUUCUGCGGUCAGACGGCGACUCUGUAUAGGAGUGGUCUGGAGCGGUGGUAUUCCUCCUCGGAAGGCAAUAGUAGGCUGCCCUCUGGGUGCUCCUUCCUUUUUGACCUUGCGGGUCUUCAUAUUUUCCAAGCGAAUUAGGUCCUUGACUUGGUGUAGUUCUUGGCGAAGCGUCACGGAUUCCUUGAUGAUAAGGUGAGUCAAGGUGUCGGCGGAGAGGUUGUAGUAGGUUUGAAACCUGAGUGGCGUCCCGUCUUCCGGGGAUGGGUUGAGUGUUCACCUCCCGUCAAUCCCGUCCUUAACAAAAGGCAGGUGACGAGUCGAUGGCUCAUUGGCUAUCUCAGGAAGGAUAUCACGGAGAUGCACGAGCGCCUCUUGUGUUGUUGUCUCCACUACCAACAUUAGAUUCUCCAUUUGUGGUCCUUCAAAGAACCAACUAGUUGGGGAGUCGUUUGCCUUCACUAUCACGUCCACGUGAUAUUCCUUUGUGUCGGCAUUGACCCAGUGCUUGUGGUAGAGAAAAAUGGGCGUGCGGCGUACUUGACACUUCUCCAGGCUGUCUCCCAAAAGUAGGGGAAAGCCAGUUUCCAGAAGAAUCUCAGGUACGAUGGCCAUCUACAAGGUUUUUAGGAGAGGGCUAGAAAUUUGUGGGUGGUAUGGAAUGGUAGUAGGGUGUAGAAAAUCUCAAGUGUAAGGGCUGAGUGUGCUAAUCGCCUCGACUAUCGUCCACGCUACCUAAAGCUUCCUACAAUCAUGAUGGCUCUGAUACCAGCUCUGUGGGGACCCCGACUUACGAGUCGAGAUUGUCGAAUGAUCGUGCUCAGUGAUCCGAGAGAUCAAUGCUUACCGAACACACAGAUACUGAAUAAUAAGAGUCUUACAUCCAACAUACCAUUUGAUACAACAACUGACCAUCAUGGUCAAGUCUCAAAUAGAUAGGGCAUGUAAGGCCAAUCACACUGAUACAACUACUAGCGUAAUCUUGGUAGUAAAUGGGAGCCCAUGACAUCAGCCUUCACCAAUAGACAUUCUGACUCGGAAGCGUCCUAGUUCGCAUGUCCGUCUCCGAUGAUGAAUUCCUCUCCAAACUUGGUUCUUCCAUGGCUGGUCAAUAACAUAACCAGUGUCAAGCCAGUGAGUACUUUGAAUGUACUCGCAAACAGCCCAUGAUGUGGAUAUGCAAUUGGUACCAUAAUGAAGUACCAAUUGGAUAUUUAAAUUUGAUUGAAUAUUUAAAUUUACAAAAAAUCAUUUAGAAUCAGAAACAAAAUAAAAAUAAAAAGGGGCUAACCCCUGGCCUGGCUCGGCGAGUGGCAUAGGGGAUCGCAACAGUUUUCGAGGGUAGAGUAUUCAACCCAAAUUUACUGAUUCGACACAAGGGGAAGCCAAAGAAUAUUCUCAAGUAUUAGCAGUUGAGUUGUCAAUUCAACCACACCUGAAAGACUUAGUAUCUGUAGAAAAGUAUCAGUAGCAAACUAGUGUGAUAGCAACAGUAGCAAUGGUAACAGUAGCAGCAACGACAUCAAUAGCGACAUAGUAACAGUAUCAGCAGUGACAGCAGUAGCGGCAAAGUAACGUACCAAGGACCAGUAGGAAAAAUUCGUAGGCAUUGGAUCGGUGAUGGAUGAUUAUGCCGGAUGUUAUUCAUCAUGCAACAGUUAUAACACGGAGAGAUAUGUAACUAGCUCCAGUUCAUCAAUGUAAUGUAGGCAUGUAUUCCGUAUGUAGUCAUACGUGCUUAGGGAAAAGAACUUGCAUGACAUCUAUUGUCCAUCCCUCCCGUGGCAGCGGGGUCCUAAUGGAAACUACGGGAUAUUAAGGUUCUCCUUUUAAUAAAGAACCGAACCAACGCAUUAACACUUGGUGAAUACAUGAACUCCUCAUACUAUGGUCAUCUCCGGGAGUGGUUCCGGCUAUUGUCACUCUGGGGUUGUCGGGUCAUAACACAUAGUAGGUGACUACAACUUGCAAGAUAGGAUCAAGAACACACAUAUAUUGGUGACAACAUAAUAGGUUCAGAUCUGAAAUCAUGGCACUCGGGCCCUAGUGACAAGCAUUAAGCAUGGCAAAGUAGUAGCAACAUCAAUCUCAGAACAUAGUGGAUACUAGGGAUCAAUCCCCGUCAAAACUAACUCGAUUACAUGAUAGAUCUCAUCCAACCCAUCACCGUCCAGCAAGCCUACAAUGAGAUUACUCACGAACGGUGAAGAGCAUCAUGGAAUUGGCGAUGAAGGAAGGUUGGUGAUGACGAUGGGGACGAUCUCCCCUCUCCGGAGCCCAGAACGGACUCCGGAUCAGCCCUCCAGAGGAAGAACAGGAGGUGGCGGCGCCUCCGUAUCGUAAAACGCGAGGAACUCUUCUCCUUGAUAUUGUUUCCGGAUGAAAGGGACUAAAUAGAGCUGGGAUUGGAGGCGGUGGAGCAACGUGGGCCCCACAAGCCUGCCAGGCGCGGCCAGGGGCCGCGCCUGGUGGGCUUCUGGGCUCUCAGCUCCACCCCUCCGGUUGAUUCUUGCGCCAGUAUUUUUUAUAUAUUCCACAAAAAAUCCCCGUAAAUUGCCAAGUCAUUCCAAGAACUUUUAUUUCUGCGCAAAAACAACACCAUGGCAAUUCUGCUGAAAACAGCGUUAGUCCGGGUUAGUUCCAUUCAAAUCAUGCAAAUUAGAGUCCAAAACAAGGGCAAAAGAGUUUGGAAAAGUAGAUACGACGGAGACGUAUCAACUCCCCCAAGCUUAAAACCUUGCUUGUCCUCAAGCAAUUCAGUUGACAAACUGAAAGAGACAAAAGAAAAACUUUUACGAACUCUGUUUGAUCUUGUUGUUGCAACUAUGUCUAACUCAUAUCCAGAUUUUCAGCAAGAUCACAAGCUAACCACAUAAGAAAAUGACAUCUAGGUCUCAUGGUAAACUCAUAUCAAUGGCAUAAUCAACUAGCGAGCAAUAAUGACAAGUUUCAAACGUCAACACUUCAAUCAAAACAAUCAUGAAGCAGUACGAACAAAUGGUAUCUCGCUAGCUCUUUCUGAGACCGCAAAACAUAAGUGCAGAGCACCUUCAAAGACCAAGGGCUGACUAAACAUUGUAAUUCAUGGCAAAGAAGAUCCAGUCACAGUCAUACUCAACAUCAGUCAAAAGCAAAGAAUAAAAAUGACAGAGGUGCUCUCUAAUUGGUGCUUUUAUAAGAAGAGGAUGACUCAACAGGAACAUAAAUAGAUAGGCCCUUCACAGAAGGAAGCAUUGAUUUGAAGUGGUGCCAGAGCUCAAGCUUUUAAAACAGAGAUAAUAGUUUUGGGUGGCAUGCUUUCAUUGUCAACACAAUGACCAAGAGUUUUCACCAUCUUCCAUGCUACACAUGCUAUAGGCGGUUCUCAAACAGAAAAGUAAAGUUUUGACUCCCCCACCACCGAUCAAUCACACUCCACGACUAGCCGAAUACUCGGGUGUCGUCCAUACCAACAUCAAUCCAGGGGGAGUUUUGUUUGCAAUUAUAUUUUGGAUUUGAGCAUGGAACUGGGCAUUCCAAUUAUCGGCCCCUUUCUCAUGAAUGAUAGUGAAUAAACACAUAUCGAGGAUAACACGCCUAGCAUGGAAGAUACUGAUAGCCCCCUGUCACCACAUGAGCGGUUCGGGCAGGCAAAACAGAUUAUUUCUUGAAGGUUUAGAGAGUGGCACAUGCAAAUUUACUAGGAACGGCAGGUAGAUACCGCAUAUAGGUAGGUAUGGUGGACUCAUAUGGAACAACUUUGGGUUUAUGGAAGUGGAUGCACAAGCAGUAUUCCCGCUUAGUACAAGUGAAGCUAGCAAAAGACUGGGAAGCGGCCAACUAGAGAGCGACAACAGUCAUCAAAAUGCAUUGAGAUUAACCAACAUUGAGUGCAAGCAUGAGUAGGACAUAAAUCACCAUGAACAUGAAUAUCACAGAGGCUAUGUUGAUUUUGUUUCAACUACAUGCAUGAACAUGUGCCAUGUCAGGCCACUUGAAUCAUUCAAAGGAGGAUACCAUCCUAUCAUACUACAUCAUAGUCAUCUCAAGAUUCAUGUUGGCAUCCAAGACAAACCAUUAUAAGCUCCUAGCUAAUUAAGCAUGGCAUCAAAAACUAUGAUCUCUAAGUUUUCAUUGCAAACAUGUUUCUCUCACAACAAAGCUGAAUCUGGAACGAUGAGCUAGUCAUAUUUACAAAAACAAAAUAGAUCGAGUUCAUACCAGCUUUUCCAGGCUCAAUCACUUCAUCAUAUAUCGUCAUUAUUGCCUUUCACUUGCACGACCGAUCGAUGUGAACAAUAAUAAGAGUGCUCGUGCAUUGGACUAAGCUGGAAUCUGCAAGCAAACACAAAGGAGAAGACAAACUAAUAUGGCUCUUUGACACAUAAACAUAUAUGCAUGCGAGAGCCACUAAAAAUUGUAACCAUGGUCUUCUACCUUGACCCAAAGAAAAAGAAAACUAUUUACAAGGGAAAGCUUCCAACAAGCAAAACAAGAACUAGAAAAUCUUUUUGGGUUUUUCUCAAACUAGACAAACACAUGAAAAGAAAACGAGAAAAAAGAAAAUAAACUAGCAUGGAUGAUACAGUGGAAAAGUGUGAACACCGACUAACAAAGUGAAAGUGUGAGCAAGAAUAUAAAGUCGGUGAGAAACACGUACUCCCCGAAGCUUAGGCUUUUGGCCUAAGUUGGUCUAUUCCCAACGAGGGAAAUAACCGUCUCCGGGGUACUCCGGAGUGGACUGAGGAUGCCACUGCUGUGUGAGCUCCUCUGGCUCCCACUGAUAAACAGGCAUCUGGUACUCGACUGGUAGCUCGGGCACAGGCACCUGUGGUUGGGCUAUGCCCCAAUAUGCGUAGAUGUCCGAGGGCAUAAUAGUGUACCUGUCUAGAUGAAGAUUGAACAAAGAAGGAGCACGCAAUGUAAUAGUUUCAUGAGUACCCUGACUAAAUACCAGGUUAUGAAUCAUCCUCUUAUUUAUAUCUCUAUCCAGAAAGUCAUGGCGAACCAUGCUAUCAUAAUCUAGAUAUCUCUCAGGAAGAAGAAUCUCUUCUUCCUCGUCAGGUCUAAUAGGUAUCUCAAAAUGUCUAGCAAGACGAGUAGCAUAGAUACCUCCAAAGACAAUGCAUUUAGAACGGUUCGUGUUCAACCGUUGAGCUACUAUAGCGCCCAAGCUAUAAGUUUUAUCAUUACAAAGGGCUUCGCGCAAGACCGCGAGAUCUGGGGAGAUAAGGGCCCCAGCUUUCCCACGGCCAAUCAAACAUUUUCCCAUGAAUAAUGAGAAGUACCGAAGCACGGGAAAAUGUAUGCUAGCAGCUCUAGCGCAAGACACUCCUCUCUCCUCUCCUAUAGCAAUAGUAUCGAUGAAAGCUUCCAAGUCCCGUGGACGAGGUUCAUGAAUAUCCCCAACAUAAGAUAAUUUGCAAACAUUGCAAAAAUCCUGAAGUGACAUGCGCUGGGGGAUAUCAUAUAACUUGAACUCAACCAUAGGAGGAUUCUUCCUUGGAUAGAAGUUAAAGCUUUGCACAAAAAUAUUAGUGAGGAGGAGGUAUUGCGGACACUUAUCUUCAACGAAGGCGGUAAGGCAUGUGUUCUCCACCAAGUAGUAAAAGUCCUCAUGAAGUCCGGCGGCGCGUAAGAACACAUCGCUUGGCCACUCGCACGCUUGAACUUCUGCAACUCGAGGGACCGGAUACUUGGGUUUCUUCUUCUCAUUCCCAUCAUCCUUGGGGUCACACCUUGAAGAGACUCUUAAGAACCUCCUCGUCUUUUCCUUUUUCUAUCUCUGAAAAUUUCUGAAAUUUUUAGUGACUCAAAGGAAAAGUGAACAAGGCUCAACAAAACUCAUAGCAAGUACUUUGAUAAGUGCCUAGAAGCCAUAUCACGCAUGAAAACUACUUGCGACCAACUAAAAUUAGCAUGCAAAGCUCAAGAAGAGGGUCACCAAGGCAGCAAAAAUACGCGACGUAUAAGGCACUAGAGCAAAAACUAAUUGGACCAAUGGAGGAGUCACAUACCAAGGAGCAAUUUCCCCAAAAUAGUUUGGUGAAUGGGGCUUUGCACAAGGAGAUCAAAAAUCGCAGCAAGAAGAGCAAGAACACGGGUUUGAGUUACGAAAGGAUUUUUUCUGGAGGUAGGAGAAGGAGAUGGGAGCUAGAAUAAGUGGAGGGGGUGCUCGUGGGCUCCACAAGCCUGGUAGGCGCGGCCAGGGGGGUUGCCCGCCCCUCCAGGGCUUGUGGCCCACUGUGCAGCCCCUGACUAGCUCUCCGUCUUAGUAUUUUUCAAAAAUUCCAGAAAAAAUCAUACUUGAUUUUCACGGCAUUCAGAGAAAAUUUAUUUUUGGGGUACUUUCCUACGGGACGCGAAAACAGAAAACAGGGAAAACUAAACUAAAUCUAUCAUUUUUCUUCUAAGCAACCGAAGGUGAAAGCUUGGAACAGAGGUUUGUGGCUCCUCGAUUCAUCCAUCCCAUGGUCAUCGAAAGAAAUCCGUCAAUGAGGUUGAUCAAGUCUCCUUGACAAACUUUUUCGAAUCGCAAAAGGAAACGGAGAAUUUUCGAAUAGUCACUAGGUUACCUCAAUGGGGAUGUGGAUAUCCCCAACAAGCAAAUCAUACUUCAUCUUGACAGGAGGUAUAGGGCAUUCAAAGCUCCCAAUAAGGAUCGAUGAAGUUUUUUUGAUAGCAUUGAUGCAAUGUACUCGAUACUGUUUCUUCGGAAAGUGCACCGUAUGCUCAUUACCAUUGACAUGGAAAGUGACAUUGCCUUUGCUGCAAUCAAUAAUAGCCCCUGCGGUGUUUAAAAAGGGUCUUCCAAGGAUGACCGCCAUGGCAUCAUCCUCAGGAAUAUCUAGGAUAACAAAGUCCGUCAAGAUAGUAACGUUAGCAACCACAACAGGCACAUCCUCGCAAAUGCCAAUAGGGAAAGCAGUUGAUUUGUCGGCCAUUUGCAGAGAGAUUUCAGUGGGUGUCAACUUAUCCGGUUCAAGUCUAUGAUAAAGAAAGAUAGGCAUAGCACUAACACCGGAUCCAAGGACGCAUAAAGUUGUUCUAACGUAGUUGCCUUUAAUGGAGCAAGGUAUAGUGGGCACUCCGGGAUCACCUAGUUUCUUAGGAGUUCCACCCUUGAAGAUAUAAUUAGCGAGCAUGGUGGAAAUCUCAACCUCAUGUAUCCUCCUCUUUUUAGUCACAAUAUCCUUCAUGUACUCAGCAUACGGAGACAUUUUGAGCAUAUCUGUCAAAGGCACUUGCAGAAAGACAGGUCUAAUCACUUCAACAAAGCGCUCAAAAUCCUAAUCAUCCUUUUUCUUGGAUGGUUUGGGAGGAAACGGCAUGGGUUUCUGAACCCAUGGUUCCCUUUCUUUACCAUGCUUCCUAGCAAUGAAAUCGUUUUUAUCGUAUCUCUUAUUCUUAGGCUGUGGGUUAUCAAGAUCAACAGGUUCAAUCUCCACAUCCUUAUCAUUGCUAGGUUGAGCAUCAACAUGAACAUCACUAUCGAUAUUAUCGUUAGGCUCAUGUUCAUCACCAGAUUGUGUUUCAGCAUUAGAAACAGAGACAUCGUUCGGAUUCUCAGGUGUAGCACCAACAGGGUUGCUAGCGUGCAAGUUCAUAUCAUCUUUCUUCUUCUUCCUAGGAUGACUAGGUGCAUCAAUGCUAACUCCUUGAGAAUCUUUUUCAAUUCUCUUAGGAUGACCCUCGGGAUACAAAGGUUCCUGGGUCAUUCUACCGCCUCUAGUGACGACUCUAACAGAAUUGUCAUUCAACUCAUUGAGCAAGUCAUUUUGAGCCUUAAGUACUUGUUCUACCUGAGUAGUAACCAUAGAGGCAUGUUUACUCAGAAUCUUAAGAUCAUUGACAUUUCUGUCCACACAAGCACUUAAAUGACUAAGCAUACGAGCAUUCUGUUCCAAUUGUCUGCUAACAUAAUCAUUGGAACUUUGUUGUUUGGCAACAAAGUUAUCAAAUUCAUCCAGGCAUAAGCUAGCAGGUUUAUCAAAAGGAAUAUCACUCUCAUUGAAUGUACGAAGAGAAUUUACCUCUACUACCUGUAUCGGGUUAUCAAGACCAUGGAUCUCUUCUAUAGGAGGUAGAUUUUUCACAUCUUGACAUUUAAUGCCUUUCUCUUUCAUAGAUUUCUUAGCUUCUUGCAUAUCUUCAAGACUGAGGAAUAGAAUACCUCUUUUCUUUGGAGUUGGCUUAGGAGGUGGUUCGGGAAUAGUCCAAGCAUUCUCAUUGCACAAGAUAUUAUUCAAUAGGAUCUCAGCUUGUUCCACAGUUCGUUCCCUAAAAACACAACCGGCACAACUAUCUAGGUGGUCAUUAGAAGCAUCGGUUAGUCCAUUAUAGAAGAUCUCAAGUAUUUCAUUCUUCUCAAGAGGGUGAUCGGGCAAAGCAUUCAGUAGCUGGACGAGCCUCCCCCAAGCUUGUGGGAGACACUCUUGUUCAACUUGCGUAAAGUUGUAUAUUUCCUGCAAGGCAGCUUGCUUCUUAUGGGCACGAAAAUAUUUCUCAGAGAAGUAGUAGAUCAUAUCCUGGGGGCUACACACACAACCAGGAGAAAGAGAAGUGAACCAGGUCUUAGCAUCAUCCUUUAGCGAGAAAGGAAACAGCUUAAGGAUAUAGUAGUGGUGGAUCUUUUCCUCACUAGUGAAUAGGGUGGCUAUAUCGUGUAGUUUGGUAAGAUGUGCUACAACCGUUUCAGACUCAUAACCGUGAAAAGGAUCAGAUUCGACCAGAGUGAUUAACUCAGGGUCGAUAGAGAAUUCAUAAUCCUUAUCGGUCACAAAGAUAGGCGAAGUAGCAAACUUCGGGUCAUAUUUCAUCCUAGCGUUCAAAGAUUUUUCUUUCCACUUGUUCGGUAAUUUCUCAACAUCAUAGCUAUCCUUACAAGCAAGAAAGUCCUGAGCUAUCUCUCCCUCCAUAACAUAACCCUCAGGCAUAUCAGGCAAUUCAUAUCUAGGAGAGCUAGUUCUAAUAGGCAAAAUAGCACAUUCUACUUCAAUAGUAUCAGCAGUUUCAGAAGUAUCAUCACAUCUAGCAGCAACUCUAGCAAUUUGUGCAUCAAGGAAUGCACCUAGUGGCAAAGCAGUAUCAAGCAUAGCAUCAUCACAAGCAUCAUGGACAGCAGAAGUAGUAUCAUCAAGCACAGGCGACACAUCAAAAUUUCUAGCAGGAGGUGGUGUUGCAAACAUACUCAUAACUGAAGGCGAAUCAAGUGCAGAGCUAGAUGGCAGUUCCUUACCUGUCCUCGUAGUUGAGGGCAAGACUUUAGUUCUUGGAUCUCUCGGAUUCCUCAUAGUGAUCAGCAGACGUAAAUCCCAAGUGACUAAAAGAAUAGAGCUAUGCUUUCCCAGCAAAGGCGCCAGAAAAUAGUCUUGAUAACCCACCAGUAUAGGGAAUCGCAACAGUUUUCGAGGGUAGAGUAUUCAACCCAAAUUUAUUGAUUCGACACAAGGGGAAGCCAAAGAAUAUUCUCAAGUAUUAGCAGUUGAGCUGUCAAUUCAACCACACCUGAAAGACUUAAUAUCUGCAGAAAAGUAUCAGUAGCAAACUAGUGUGAUAGCAACAGUAGCAACGGUAACGAUAACAGCAGCGACAGCAAUAGCGACAGAGUAACAGUAGCAGCAGUGACAGCAGUAGCGGCAAACUAAUGUAGCAAGGACCAGUAGGAAAAACUCGUAGGCAUUGGAUCGGUGAUGGAUGAUUAUGCCGGAUGUUAUUCAUCAUGCAACACUUAUAACACGGAGAUAUAUGUAACUAGCUCCAGUUCGUCAAUGUAAUGUAGGCAUGUAUUCCGUAUGUAGUCAUAUGUGCUUAGGGAAAAGAACUUGCAUGACAUCUAUUAUCCAUCCCUCCCGUGGCAGCGGUGUCCUAAUGGAAACUACGGGAUAUUAAGGUUCUCCUUUUAAUAAAGAACUGGACCAACACAUUAACACUUGGUGAAUACAUGAACUCCUCAUACUAUGGUCAUCUCCGGGAGUGGUUCCGGUUAUUGUCACUCCGGGGUUGCCGGGUCAUAACACAUAGUAGGUGACUACAACUUGCAAGAUAGGAUCAAGAACACACAUAUAUUGGCGACAACAUAAUAGGUUCAGAUCUAAAAUCAUGGCACUCGGGCCCUAGUGACAAGCAUUAAGCAUGGCAAAGUAGUAGCAACAUCAAUCUUAGAACAUAGUGGAUACUAGGGAUCAAUCCCCGUCAAAACUAACUCGAUUACAUGAUAGAUCUCAUCCAACCCAUCACUGUCCAGCAAGCCUACGAUGAGAUUACUCACGAACGGUGAAGAGCAUCAUGGAAUAGGCGAUGAAGGAAGGUUGGUGAUGACGAUGGCGAUGAUCUCCCCUCUCCGGAGCCUAGAACGGACUCCAGAUCUGCCCUCCAAAGGAAGAACAGGAGGUGGCGGCACCUCUGUAUUGUAAAACGCGAUGAACAUUUCUCCUUGAUUUUUUUCCGGACGAAAGGGACUAAAUAGAGCUGGGAUUGGAGGCGGUGGAGCAACGUGGGCCCCACAAGCCUGCCAUGCGUGGCCAGGGGGGGCGCGCCUGGUGGGAUUGUGGGCUCUCAGCUCCACCCCUCCGGUUGAUUCUUGCGCCAGUAUUUUUUAUAUAUUCCACAAAAAAUCCCCGUAAAUAUCCAGGUCAUUUCGACAACUUUUAAUUCUGCGCAAAAACAACACCAUGGCAAUUCUGCUGAAAACAACGUUAGUCUGGGUUAGUUCCAUUCAAAUCAUGCAAAUUAGAGUCCAAAACAAGGGCAAAAGAGUUUGGAAAAGUAGAUACGACGGAGACGUAUCAGCCAGCCAGCAGCCCAGGCACGCGCGCCGUCAGGUUCAAACAUGAUGCACAAGCCCCUGCGAUCAGCGGCAGAUAGAGGAGAGAGGGGGAGAGACUGGCCACUGACACGUGGGGCAUGCCUCUCGGGGUCGUCUUCCUCCUCUGGACAGAGAGGAGGGGAGGCGCGCCGGCGGUGAUACCGACGCCCUCGUGCCCCAAUGACGGCAAGAAUGGAGCCGGCUCAUCGUCGCCUACCUGCUAGUGGUCGAAGGAAUGACGGGGAGGCCGUGGGUCACCGACGACGAGGUGGCCGCGACGGAGGUGCUACGGGAGGUGGUGGAGCUGGGUACUACGGGCAGGGAAUUGCUCGGGGAAGAGGUGGAGAAGCUCUGUGAGCUCACUACGGUCACGGAGGAGGUGAGAGGAUGUGGAGACCCCGACUUACGAGUCGAGGUCGCCGUGCUCAGUGAUCCGAGAGAUCAAUGCUCACCGAACACAGAUGCCGAAUAAAAGAGUCUUACAUCCGAGUACCGAUUAUUACAACACAUGACCGAAUGGUCAAGUUUACAAGGUAGGGCCUAAGGCCAAAUCACUCUGAUACACUAGUAGCGGAAAACAUAGGGGCUAAGCGGGUGCCCAUGCCAUCAAGCCUACACCGACAGGAAUUCUGACUCGGAAGCGUCCUAGUUCGCAAGGGCGUCUCCGGAGACGUACUCAUCUCCAAACUCCGGUCCUUCCAUGUCUGGUCAAUAACAUAACCAGUGGCAAUCCAAUGAGUACUUUGAAUGUACUCGCAAACAGCCCAUGAUAUGAACAAUGAAAGUGAAGGAUAACAAUAUCAUGCAUCUUUGGUGUAAGUCAUCUAGGUGGAAUGAUCAUGAUUAUGCUUCAAUGUCAAAGAAUUACUUUUGAAGAACAGGUUACAGAUAUCAAUAUAUCUGUCAAGGGCUGAGCCAUCCGGGCUCACCCGAUAUGCCAAGUCACCGAACUUGGUCAUAUCCUUACUUUCAUAACCACACCUUUUUCAACACCACAUACACUCACACUUGGUUUAUGCGGAAAUAACUGGACGUAGUUUAAGCAGGAUUACCCAACUGUCCUUGACCGUGGACACGGCUAUUCGAAUAGUUUACACUCUGCAGAGGUAGUACACUGGACCCACGAGAUCCGGGAAACUUCCGUGUAAUCCACGGCUCGCGGCAUAAAACAUACCCGAGGUAAGUACCCAAUCAAUGCCUUUCCCCUGACUAUACUAGACAAAGAGGUCCACUCGAUUGGUACCCAGCCCACAUGUUGUACGUCUUACGAGCACCAACUCUGGACAAUACCAACCAUGCGGGGACCAACGGUGUGACUGGAACUCAUAAAAAUGGCAUAGUCGUCCUACAUGGCACGACCCUAUCAUGAGAAUGACCACACAUCACUCCCGCCACUAGUAAUGUGGCUCUUUGCUAGCACCGACCAGAGUAAUUAACAUAGCCCCGUCCCAUAAGGGGUAACAUGGUCGUGUUGGUAAGGUUGGGACGAUCGACACAUCAUAAAUCUAAUCCCAUUUCCGAAACCAUACUCACACAAAUACUGGGUGCAUCACUUCACCAAAAGUGACCACCUAAUUUAUCAUCACCCUCGGGCAUUAGUGGCACCCGACGGGGUUUUCUUAAACUCUUGCUUUAUUUCAUCAACAUGCUCAUGAUAAAACUACCUCUAUCAUUACUUGUCAAUAUGGUAUUAGCAUGACCCUCAAGGGGUAGGGUCAAGCUCAAUGCAUGUGCUCCGGGGGAGCCUUCGGUAAAAUCAUAUCAAAUGAUUACCGGCACUUAUGAUCAUAUGCAACGGGAAUACUUGUUAUUUUAACAUGCAAAGUAGCAUAUGAUCAGUCAUGGUCAAAGGGCUGCUUGCCUUUGCUCACAUAAGUCCUCUGGGUCUUCGAGUUCUUCCGCUCCAACUCCGAGUACUCCAUCUACCGUCAACUAUCGUCGGAAACAAUCAUGGUAAGCCACACAGCAGGCUGAAAUAAAGUGCUACAAAAAUAGAAGUUAUAUUUUUCUUGGACCUCUCUGUUCAUAAGAAAAAUACCUGAAGUUUGCCAUAGGAGGUUUGGAUCAUCAAGGAUUGUUGAAUGGACGAAAGGAGGAAUAGGGGAUCAUGAAGAAGCCUACAGAAAUCAUUCUCUUAAAAAUGAGUGGAGGCACUCAAUAUUCAGAGCAUGAUUUUAGAAAUAUUUAGGAACCUGUAGAAAUGUGAAUCAUUAGAAUUGGAGCUAAAAUGAAUUUGCUAUGGAUUUUUUAAGUUUAAACCAAAUAGGAAAAGAGAAAAGGCUUAGACUCGGGGGUAUCUUACGCUCAGGGCAUUGGGUAGGCCUCGGGCCGGCCCAGCUCCCUCAGCCUCGAGGGGCUGGUGACGCUGAAGGCGUAUUCUCAGGAAUACGUCUUCCUCGCGGGGAGGCAGCAUCUUCGCAGGCGCGGCCACUUAUCCCGGGGCCCGACCAAUGUGAGGCUGACGGGGGGUCCCACCUGUCUGAUGCAUCUCCCACCUCCCGCUCACGCAAGGGAGGGGCAGGGGCUCGAGGGCGCACCGGCUCCUGCUCCUCUGGCCAUCCCUAGUGAGACCCGGCACACCGGCGGGCUCGGGUGGCCGCGCCGCGCCCGACCAGGCCCCAUGCGCUAGCGGGGAGGGGCGGCAGUGACCCCGGUAGGGAGGCCAUGGGGGAGGCCGCUGGCCUCCAUGGCCUCGGGCACGCGGAGUCGAGGGAGGAGAGGGGGCGUAGAGGGAGGGAUGCGCGGCAACGGGGAGGCUCACCGGAGAGCCCAUGGGCGAGGGGAAACCCCCUGGGUUCGCUUGUCUCGCGCGGGCACCUUCGGGAGCUUUGGCCAUGGAUAUGGCGGGAGGAGGAGGGCCUGGGGGAGUGCCGGGGCUCGAAUAGGGAGCCUGGGAUGCUCUCCAGUAAGGGGAAGCAAGAGAGACUUGGGAAGAGGGGAGAUAAGAGAGGAGGAGGAGGAAGGAGAGCUUGGAAGCUGUCGGGUGCACCCGUGGGCAUGGGUGCCACACGUUCAAGAGGAACCUUGGAAGCUAGCUAGUUUGGGAAGAUAAUUUGAAUGGUCAAAGGAAGGCUCUGGGAUACACUCUGGCAUCUUGGUUCAGCAAGAAAUGGACUGGAGGGAAGCAACAAGGUGCAGAGCACCCAUAUUGCAGUCCAGGGUGGUGGUCACCACGGGCACGAGUGCCAAUAGGGCCCUAAUGACCAGUCAAAGGUGUGUGGCAGGUGGGGCAUGCUAUAUGGAAAGUGAGUGAGGAUUUUGGCUUCAAGUGAAGUUGAUUUGAAUGGCUGUUGACUGAGGUAAACAUUUCAGCAGGAAACUAGAGGCUGAUGCAAGUGGUUUUCACAGGCAAAGAUGGGAGGUGAAACCAUGUCGUGGAGCAUCAGGUAUGGAAGGACUACGCCACUGUAAUAUUUCAGCUCAAGCAAGGAAGUGUAGCUAGCACUUGAUGUACAAGGCUACCUUUCAGCCAUAAAUCAACUUGAGGAUGUGCUGCUCAUUUUCUCCACAUGAGCAUGCCACCUCUUGGCUUGAAACAAUACCUUGGAGUGCUAGAUACCCUCUGGAAAGAGAUGGGGGCUUUGGCUUAAGCAGAAGUGGGGCAAGAGAGGUAAAAAUAGUGAUUCCAAGGGUAAAAUGAGAGAUAGUUACAUAGGAUAUCUCUCCAAUAAUUCACCAAUGGCCAUGGGGAUGUUACUGGAGGUAAAAUGUAACUAGAGAUAGUUGUGGUAGAAAGUUGAGCUCAAGGGUAAAGGUGGAAGGGGUCAAAGAAGCCAAUUUAGUGAGUGCACACAAGGUGUUUGAUCUGUGGUUAGGCCAUCAAAUGAAUUCCAAUGGCUAUGAAACUUAAGAGGAUCAAAUAAUAGAUGAAAAUAAGGUUGCACACCAAAUUUGGGAUUUGCUGGAGAAGUUUUCCAAUGUAGACUUGGAAAACCCUCGAAAUGAGCAGAAAUGGCUUUCUGCUUUCAAUCCUAUUCAAAUCAAGUUCCACAAAUCCAAUAUUUGGUGUAGGGGAAUUAUUUGAGCACUAAGGCAUGCACAAAAAGGUUGGGGUCAAUUGAAGAAACUUUAUAAUGUAAAGUUUCCCAAAGUCAGAAAUCAACAGAGAGGGUUUUGAGGGUCUUAGGACAAGUUCUUCUAUUCUCCUUGAUGCACCACUUGGUGUGGAUGCAUUAUUGGAGUAUUAGAACAUGUCCACCAAAUUUGAGCACAGUUGGAGACACUUCACAAUGUAUAGUUGCUCAGAUUUGAAUCUAGACAGAUAGGGUUUUAGAAUAAUUAGGGGAGUCAAAUCAACUUGGAUUGAGUUGAAACUUGGCAAGAUCAUCAAGCAUGUCAUAGGUGACAUGCUUGAAUUUUAAUGGAAUUUGUUGAGAAUAUUUCUUAUAGAAAUAUUUCCAAAGCUUGAAAUAGGCAAGAAUGGUUUUGGAGGGGUUUGCCCAAUAUUUUGAACAUGACCAUGUGUUGAAACUCAUAUAUAUGGUAUAAAUAUAUCCACUGAGUUUCCCUAAUUUUUCUAAAUAUUUUGAAAGCAAUAAAAAUAACUUUCCUUCAUAAGAGACCAUUUAUGGUCUCACAGAAAGGCAUUUAAAUAAAAUAAUAAAAUAACUUUUAAAAUAAUAAUAUUGUGGUUUUUGGAAGACAUUUUGAUAAUAGGUUUUAAAUAAAAUAAUUGGUUCCAAAUAAAUUCCCUAAUUGGAGGACUUGUAGUACAAAUCUCAUGUGAGGGGUUUGAAAGUUUAAUUCAAAGAAAUGCUUUUUGGUGAAAAUAAUAUUUGGUAAGAAUAGAUACUGGUUCUAAACACAUGGCAUGAUCAUUAGGCAGGAGAACAUGGGAUGAGGAGAUGAGUUGGAUGUUAGCAAGAAUUAUUGGGGAGCAAUUACAUGCAUACAAGCAAGCGGGCAAACAAUAGUCACUUCAAUCAUCACAACAUUCACAAAAAAUUUAAUUGGUCCUAAUUUUUGAAAUAAGUUAGUUAGUCAGGAAAGCUAAACGCAGGGUGUUACAGAGGAGCGCGAGAGCUGGCUUGUAGCCCGAGAUUGACGAAGCUCCGAAGCGGCGGGGUCACGAUCGAUCUCGAGCACUGGAGCUCUUUGUGCUCGAAUGGGGUGGUUGGGGCCUCGAUUGAGGUUGUGGAGGAGAGGUGUGAGGGUGCUAGAUCGAGGGGAGGCCUAUUUAUAGGCUAGCAAUGAUGCACCGCAUGGGAGUGCGUUGGUGGUUUCAUCGCGGCUGCUUGAGAGGGAGAGAGAGCUCGGGGCCGAUACCAUAGUUUUGCGGACGUCGUUUGAGACCCCAGAGACUCAACGAGAGAGAGGGGGGGACGCGGCACGCGCGAGCUGCGUGGCCGUGUUUUUCUGGCCGAAUCUGGCACGCGCGGGCACGCGUCGCCCUGGUCAGCAGAGAGGGGGAGGAGGGGCAAUGAGGCUGCCCUGAUUCAGGAGGUUGGUCGGAGACACAGAGAGACACCGAGGGGAGGUGAGAACCGGCCGGGGCUAGCCACCUUUGCCUCGGGUGCGCCCUGUAGCACGCCCAUGGCGCAGUUUUGGCAUACCACGGCAUGUUGGCGCGCUCUAGGGUGAUUUAGCUGUGUUUGGCGUGUCCAGGGGUUGGGUUAGAUGCUCCUUAGCCGUUUGAGAGCCAAGGGUCUCACUGUUGGUCAAAGGAGGUGAUUAAAGAGGAGAUGUCAGUCUUGAGCCAGAAACUAAAAUGGAUAUUUUGGGCUCUUCUGCUUGGAACCAGAGAGGGGCCACUCGUGUGAAGUUGAGGAGUGGUGCUGGCGGCUUGCACUAAGAGUUUGGUGGAAAGGGUGUGGGUGUAGAGGGGGUUAAGUCUUGUUUGACCAAGUUGGCAGAAGGUGUUCGACAUGUGUUUGGGGUAGUUACCCUCCACCACUCGUGCUGAGAGUUAACAUGAUUGGGUUUGAUGCAAAAAUAGGACGCUCCACCAAAUUUAGGCUCAAACUUGAAAUCACCCCCAAAUGGGCAGUAUUGUCCUUUCAAAAGGGAAUGUGGGUAAACUAAUCCCCACAAAUCCAACUUUUGGCACGGACUCCUCAUUUGGGGUGUUGAGCACUCCUACAAAGUUUUGGGCCAUUUGGACAAACGUUGCUAUGUAGAGUUGCUACAACUUGAUUCUGGACACGGAGGGUUUUAGGAUUAUUUGGUGAACCAAAUCACCUUGAAAUGAGGUGAAACUUGGCAUCAACACCAAAUAUAGCUUGGGAAGCAUGCUGGAAUUUUCUGGGAAUUUAUUGGAAAUAUUUUCUUUGGAAAUAUUUCAAAAGGUCAAAACAGACAGAAUGGGUUUUCAAGGUUUGGCUCAAAUAUUUUGAAUAUAAAUAGGGGUUGAAAAUCUUAUGUAUGGAAAAUAUAUGUCCUCUGAGUACUUCCAAAUUUUCUCAGAUUUUUCUAAGGUAGAAAACUAAUUUUCCAUCCAGAAAUACCAUUUUUGGCCUCACAAAAGGACAUGCAAAUAAAAUAGAAAAACAUUUCAUAAAAUAAUUAUUUUAUGAUUUUGGAGAGUUAAAAUAGUGCUAAAACCAUAUUACCAUCUUUGGGUGAAGGCACUCCUUUGAAAUCAGGUACUUGUAGUGCAACCCAAAGCAAGGUUUUGAAAUAGUCAAAAAUGAGAAAAAGGUUUUUUUGGAAAUAUCAUGUUAUAAAAAUGUUAUUUUUGGAUCCACUCUUUCAAGCAUACACACAAAGAAUGGCAAUCACAGCACUCAUAGAAAUUGCUUAAAAAGAUUUAAUAAACUCAUAUUUUUGAAAAGGCUACAGUUGAAGUAAGGUAAGAACAGAGUGUGACAAUCAAACACUUGCAACCAACGCUAUAAAGGGGUUGUCAAUCCCUUCAGAGUUAUUUGCAAGGAUGAGAUCUGAUAGAGAUACAUAUAAAGAUUGCAGAAACAAAAGUAAAUAAAUUGCAGCAAAGUAUUUUUGAUUUAGAGAUAUGAAAGUAUAAUGUGGAAAAUAGACUCGGGGGCCAUAGGUUUCACUAGAGGCUUCUCUCAUAAUGGAAAAUAAUACGAUGGGUGAACACAUUACUGUCGAGCAAUUGAUACAAAAGCGAAUAAUUAUGAAUAUAUCCAAGGCAAUGAUUAUGCAUAUAGGCAUCACGUCCGUGUCAAGUAGACCGAAAAGAUUCUGCAUCUACUACUAUUACUCCACACAUCGACCGACUCCUCCCUGCAUCUAGAAAUACUCAUCUAAAUACCUCCGAGGAAUUCUAUAGGUAUUUACAUCUAUAUGUAUUAUAAGUGUGCUUUCAUGAAGGAUGAUUUUUCUUUCAAGGAGGAUUAACAAUAUAGUCUGCUCCCCGAGGUUCGGUGAUGUAAAACCACUCCUUUUGCCAGACUUUGGUGUUGUCGAUAAAAGUACCCUCCGACCACUCGACCCGUGGAAGUUUGGUGAUCACGGCUCCUCCGCAGUCAGCAUGUUGGUCGCUGACCAUCUUCAGCUUGACAUUGAAAGUCCUGAGCCAUAAGUCGAAGUGCGAAUGAACCCGCAGGAAGGCCUCACAAACGAUGAUGAAGGUUCAGAUGUGCAUAAACGAGUUCCGGGGAAGAUCGUGAAAAUCUAACCCGUACAAGAACAUUAGGCCCGUGACGAAGGCGUGGAGGGGAAAGCCUAGUUCUCGAAAGAAGUGGGGGCGAACACCACCCUCUCGCCCGGCCUUGCUGUCGGCACCACCUGACCCUCCUCCGGGGCAUGAUGGAUAAUGUUAGGUGAGAGGUAGCCGGCGAGCUUCAACUCCCGGAUAUCCUUGUCGGAGACGCAUGAGACCUCCCACUUACCUUGGGAACCCGAGUCGACCAUGGUUGAGCUUGGGGAAAGGCAGAUGGGAGAGGACGGAAAGAGAAAUGGAUCUGGGCUCUUGGAGCUUGAAUGGAAGGGGGGUCGAGUCUGGAAUGCAUGUGGUGGCUUUGAGGAUCUUUUUCCCUUUUAUGGGAGGCCAUAAGACCAGUGGUUCCCGUUUACUGCGCCGCAAGCCUUGUCACUUCCUGAAAUGACCAUGUUUUUAAACACGCUUGGGAUAACCCAGAUCAUUAUUCGUAUCCCCUUCAACUCGGGGCACGAUCUCCACGUUGAUAAGACAUGCCAAUGGGAAAGUGGCCUCGAACCACUAAUCAGCUUUUCAUAACUAGCUAUCACGACCUUUCGUUAGAAAGGCUAUCAGAUGAGGAAUUGUUCGCACCCGGGCUUUUAAACCCUUGAAUUAAGUGGUGUUUGUUUUAAAGGCACGACAUCGCCAAACGGCCAAGUCGAAACCGACCGAACGUGAAGGGAACUCGCCUUGCAAGCCGAUUACUCUAGAUACGAGGAUCUACCGAAGACCAUAUACAUCAGCAUUGGAGGCCAGUUCAGGGGCUACUGAGGGAGUUCGGGACUAAGGGGUCCUAGGGCGGUCGGCCCAUCUCUUACAGGCCGACCUAAUGGGUCGCUUUGUUGAAGACCGGAUUGCGUGAUGACCUCAUGUUCAGGAAGGAAAGCUCCGAAGACUAGCGUGUCAUCCAAGUGAAGUAGUCUAGAUCGGUGCAUCUGUCCCCAGCUGGACUUCGGUUAUGUGUAACCCUAGGGACCCCUGGUAUCUAUAUAAACUAGAGGGUUCCAUCCAUAUAGGCAGGUUGACUCAUCUAGGGUUUUAGCUCAUACGAUCUCGAGGUAGAUCAACUCUGUAAUAUUCAUCCACAUUAAUACAAUUAAGCAGGACGUAGGGUUUUACCUCCUCAAGUGGGCCCAAAUCUGGGUAAACAUUGUCUCCCUCGUUCCCUCUUACCCAUCAAUGCAAGGUCCACAGCUCGGGACCAUGUACCCGAGAUUCGCCGGUUUUGACACCGACAGGCGGGCGAUCAAUCUGAUCGCAUGCGCGGUCGGGGGCGUUGCUCGGUGAUGAUGACGGCAUCGUGGAUGGUGAAGUGGGGUGGUCGAGCAAACCAAGGCGACGGUGACCGGUAGGCAACGGCGUGUCGGAGGAGGCCGGCGAAGGGUCGGGCAGCCCGAGGCAGCCGACAGGCUCGACGCAACCGGCGAACGAGGCAGUCGGGAAUCGGCAAGCCCAAGGCAGGCAGCAGUCCUAGCGCAACCGAAGAGGAGGGAAACAACUAGCAGGCGUAAGGCAACCGCCGAUCUCGAGGCGCCCAACGAUUGGCGAUGAAGACGGUAGGUGGAUGGUGCAGACGUCCUGUUCGGCGCAGGGCGGCAACGGUCGGCGUAGAGCGACGGGUGGGCAGAUGCGUGGACAAAGGUCGUGACGUGCUGCAACACGCAUGAGGCUAUCGGGUCGGACUAGAGGUCGGCUGUCGCGCUGGUGUGGGAGUAGAGGCGCGGAGUCGACGAUGGCGGCGGGCGACGGAAACCGAUCUUAGAUCAGAAUACCAAAAAGAAAAACACCGAUCAAAGCGAUCGACGGAAGAGAGAAAACCCGGAUCAAACGAUCGGGGAAAAAGACUCUCUAGAGCAGCCGGUCAACUUGAUCGGCGAACGAACACUAGGUCCGGGCGGCACAGCCCCCGACGGCGGUCAUGGAGGACGACCGCCCCAGGGACGACGCGCGAGGCGGAAGCGGCAGGCGGUGGCUAGGUCUCGGAACUUGAUGCAGAUACCAUGUUGAAAGGUAGAGAGGGAUUGGUGGAAUUGUUGUUGGGUGUUGUAUUGAGCCUUAUGGUCGAGUAUAUAUGGGAAUACAGGCUUGAAGUGCAAAAGUCUCUCCUAGAAAUAAGGUAGGAGACGGAUUAGAAAUCCUAAACUAUCAAAUACAUGGACUCCAAAUAUAUCUCUAAAAGAUCCGAACAUGGCCACGAGAAGUUUGAUCAUCUCCUCUUCCUCGCCCAGCCUUGGUUCGGCGGCGCGGUGCUUGAGUGUUGGGGCGGCGGCUCACACAUGGGUUGGCGGAGGUCGGGCACUGUCCAUAUCCAGUGUGUCGGGACUCGGGAUUCAGGAGAGCUCUGCCGUUGGUGGCCCCGCUGUUCUUUAGCUCCAAAACUUUGAUCUGCUUCAUGUAGGUCUCCUCGAUCUGGACAUCUACGGGUUCCGGUCUUCCUUUCAGAGAUCUCGCUUUUUGGCGCUUGACGUCACUAGAGAUCGGAAUUGAUCUGGUCGGGCGCGCUCUCAUCUUUGGGCAGAGAGGCUUCAUGAGGGCAUGGUAUGAAGGUUCGAUGUCUUGUCAGCGCUAUGGGACAUGUCUAAGUAUAGAUUUCCAAGACGUUGACAGUGGUGAAAGUCAUGAUGACUACGAUCGGAGACUUGUAAUGACAGAGAGGAUUUUUGGUUGCAUUGAAGAACGGCGGCACGGGGUUUUUUCCUGUGUGUCGGGUGUGUUGAGAACUUGCACAAUGGUCUUGGCAGCAGGGGCGGCAACACAGGUGGACAAAAUUUUUGGGGGUACUACUCGAGUACCAAACCGUGACGUUGAGGGUGAAAGCCCAAGGUGUGGCCUUCAUUGGUUGUAUCUGGCAAUGGUCUUGGGACGGCAUUGUUUUUGGGAUUUCGGACUCUCUCCGGGGUGAAAACGCAAGAUCUUUGAUUGGGCGACGACAAUGAUUGAGCAUUGUUUCCUUCUUGGAGGCGUCACUUUUUGAGAAACUCUUCUAUUGUGCGGGUGUUGUCUUUGAUGGUGGUUAGAGUAUCGUUGUUGUGAGUGUUUCAUCACUAUAACAGGGUCUUUGUUUUUAUAUUUCUCUCUUUUUAUUUUUGUUUUUGACUGUAUGCAUCCUUGAUGUUUUUUAUAUCUUGUUGGUGCAGAGGCUGGACGUAAUUGGUAUCUUCGCAAUAUUAAUAUAUUUCCUUUAUUGAAAACGAAAGACCACCAGUCCACCACAUCUUUAGCCUAAAACAAGCUUCUCAGAAUAGAACAGGACAUCGACCCAGCAAACGUUAAAGGAUAUCAGUCUCGGUACUUCUUCUACCGCUAUUAAAGUCACGCGACGGAACCCCAGGUGUUUGGUUCAACGUUUCUUGCCCGUUAUCUAAUUACACUCGUAUCAAAUAACGUUAGCUGUGUUUGGAAAGGACAGCACGUAAUCAAAUCCCGUGUAAACAGAUCCUGUCGCUGCCUAAGGUCGAUUCCGCCCACCCCCCCAGUGUAAACGCAUUAUGUUACCCUUUGCCCCUUGAGCCCUUUGUUCCUAGUCCCUGAUCCCCUCUGCCUCCGCCUCCUCGCAUCCCCUUCCGCCGCCACAAGCUUAUCAGCCUGGACAGAUCAAGUCGCUGUCAACGGCGACGGCGCCAGCGCCGAUGGCUGGCAGUGUGAGAAGGCCGGCUGGAAGCUGGUGGUGGACUGUGUCGGACAGGGCAUGUCGUUCGUGGAAGCUGAGCGGACAUCGCCAUCGACAAACUUGACGAUGGGAGUUGGGAGGUGCUUCUUGCUCAUGUACGACGACCACAUCUACAAGGCCUCGCCGUCGGGCGUGCUGCUACCCGCCAUCAUCGUCCCGCCCCUCGUGCACGAAUAGCUGACGCGCCUCGAGUCCGGAGGCUUCACGCUCGGCCACAGGAAUUUCUACGGCGUCAGCAAUGUCCGUCGGCAUGGCGUAGUACGGCUGGGAGAUCACUUCUGGUGCCCGUGUCAUAGGUGCAGCCCGUCUCGGCCAAGGAGAUACGUUUUCUAGGAAGGAAUCAAUUGACGUUACAGGCUGCAACCAAACAAGUUUGUGUUUUCUUCGAUUACGUUAACAGUAACAGCGUCAUUUCAUUAUGUUUACAUUUGCGUUACCUCUAACAAACCAAACACCUCCUAUGUCGUUCCCGUCCGAUCCGCUCGAGCUCAGCAGACCCCUUUGCUGAUUGUCUGAUAACGAAUCACCACGUAUCUCAUGCUCACUCCGGAGCGGCGGUUGAAGCUCAUAGAGGAAGUAAAUUGCAAAAAAACAUCAUAAUUAUGCAAAAGUCAUCAAACACCCACCAAAAUGCAUGUUUUAUGGUUUUUUCCUGAUGCGUUGAUAACAUCGACCCAAUUGUGGUGGUUUUUUGCAAUUUACUCUCCUAAGACCUUGUUCGGUUCCUUCCGAAAUGAAGGGGUUUGGAGGGGAUCGAGAGGGAUUAAAUCCCCUACAAGUCAAAUUCCAUCGCAAUCCCCUCCUUGCCCGGAUUAACCGAACAAGCCCUAAGGCCUUGUUUGGCCGGAAGGGGUUGGGGAGGAUUGUGAGGGGGGGGUCAGAGGAUUGGGUGAAUCCUUCCUUCCACCCAAUCCUCUCAAAUCCCCUCAAUUGCCAAAUCCCUGAGCCAUGAGACAAGGUUUCUGAGCCGCGUGGGUAGGAAGAAAUCUAGGGGGAUGUCACGCCCAAGAUGCGACCCUAUCCUCAAUUUGGCACGAAGGCCUCGUCAGGGAUAGGAGCGCAUCUCAUCGUGUCGCAAGAAUGGAUAUCAUUACAAGUACAUGUACUGAAAGGAAGAGAUAUAUAUUCAGAGUUGGCUUACACUCGCCACAAGCUACAUCAAAGUCACAUCAAUACAUUACAUAAUCAUCAAGAGUAAGAUCAGGGUCCGUCUACGGACGAAAACAAAUGAGAAAAAAAAUAAGAACGACGUCCAUCCUUGCUAUCCCAGGUUGCCGGCCUGGAACCCAUCCUAGAUCGAAGAAGAAGAAGAAGAAGAAGCAACUCCAAAUGAACAAUCAACGCGCUCGCGUCAAGUAACCUUUACCUGUACGUGCAACUGGUGUUGUAGUAAUCUGUGAGCCACAGGAGACUCAGCAAUCUCAUUUCCAAAGGUAUCAAGACUAGCAAAGCUUAAUGGGUGAGGUAUGGUUAAGUGGUGAGGUUGCAGCAGCGACUAAGCAUAUAUUUGGUGGCUAAACUUACGAGUACAAGAAAUGAGAGGGGGAAGAUCUACGCAUAGCGGACGUAACUACUGAUGAUCAAAUGAAUGAUCCUGAACACCUACCUACGUCAGGCAUAACCCCACCGUGUCCUCGAUCGGAGAAGGAUCUCACGAAUGAGACAGUCACGGUUACGCACACAGUUGGCAUAUUUUAAUUAAGUUAACUUCAAGUUAUCCAGAACCAGUGUUAAACAAAGUUUCCACGUUGCCACAUAACCGCGGGCACGGCUUUCCGAAAAGAUUUAACCCUGCAGGGGUGCUCCAACUAGUCCAUCACAAAUUACCACAAGCCGCAUAGAAAUCCUCAAUCACGAAGCUCACGAUCUCGUCGGAUUCCCUAGUGGAAAACCUCAACUCUGAGAUUACCCAAAGCAUCACCGGAAUCCCGAUGCACAAGAUAUCUCGUCAAAGGUAAAACUAAUCCAGCAAGGCCGCCCGACGUGUCGACGAUCCCGAUAGGAGUCGCGUACCUCGUUCUCAGGACACGACGAAUGAGCGAUGGUUACCACGCCAAACGCCGAGUUGCCCCGGGUAGCGUUAAUAAGCUGCUCUGUUUUGGACCAACACUCAUGAGGACCACUGCCGGGAGUUGAUUAAAUUUCCUCGGGUUAAUUACUCCCUAUGCAGUUCAUUAGUUAUUAGGCAAAUGUAGUACCAAAGUUGGGCCUUGCCAGACCAGCUUUAAUCUAAAACGAAUUAUCAAGGGGGUCCCCAUAACAACCCCGAUCGUGUUAGGAGCGCUCGUUUAUGGAAUAUAACACCGGUAGCCGAAAACUAAGGGGGCAAAGGUGGAACAAAACACCAUGCUAGAAAGGCCGAGCCUUCCACCUUUUACCACGUAUAUAGGUGCAUUAAAUUAAAUAGCAUUUAAUAGGGUGAUAUGACAAGGAACCCAUGUUAUCACAUGGAAGCAUCUGCACCUGCAACUAGCAACGCUAACAACAUGGGUAAGCAAGCGGUAACAUAGCCAAUCAGUGGUUUGCUAGGUCGAACAGGUUGAAGGUAAUCAUGGCAUUGUUGAGAGGCUGAUAUUUAACAUGUGGUAGGCAACGAGACAUAAUCGAUAGAAACGGUAAACUAGCAUGGCAAUGAUAGUAAUGGUAUCUGGGGAAAAUAUCAUCUUGCCUGAGAUCCCGCUUGGAAGAAGAACAUCUCCGAGAUGUCGGCGAACCAACGUAGUCGAACGGGUCCUCACAUUCCGACACGCUUGCGGAACUCUAUCGAGACAAACCAGAAACAAACAUCAACACAGAUAUUCACCACACGAUGCACAACAUGACGCAUUACUUACUAUGAUGCAUGGUCAGUUCAAUAAUGCAAGGGAUGGCAUAGCAAUUCACCUCAAGAAAACUCUACACAUUAAGCGAAGCUCGAUAUGCAACGGGUUGCAUAUCGACGAUACUCCACGUUUAAUUAUUUAAUUCACUCCCGAUUAUUUACACGACAAUAUUAAAUUGUAGUUAACAUGGCAAGGGUGAAGCGACGAACCUACAUGACAUCCUAGUCGACAGCACGUCGGACUUAGAACGGAGCUACGGCACAAGAACAUGCAACACAAGAUUAUAUGCCAUGAAUGCGUGUCGGGACCCCGAUCCNNNNNNNNNNNNNNNNNNNNNNNNNNNNNNNNNNNNNNNNNNNNNNNNNNNNNNNNNNNNNNNNNNNNNNNNNNNNNNNNNNNNNNNNNNNNNNNNNNNNNNNNNNNNNNNNNNNNNNNNNNNNNNNNNNNNNNNNNNNNNNNNNNNNNNNNNNNNNNNNNNNNNNNNNNNNNNNNNNNNNNNNNNNNNNNNNNNNNNNNNNNNNNNNNNNNNNNNNNNNNNNNNNNNNNNNNNNNNNNNNNNNNNNNNNNNNNNNNNNNNNNNNNNNNNNNNNNNNNNNNNNNNNNNNNNNNNNNNNNNNNNNNNNNNNNNNNNNNNNNNNNNNNNNNNNNNNNNNNNNNNNNNNNNNNNNNNNNNNNNNNNNNNNNNNNNNNNNNNNNNNNNNNNNNNNNNNNNNNNNNNNNNNNNNNNNNNNNNNNNNNNNNNNNNNNNNNNNNNNNNNNNNNNNNNNNNNNNNNNNNNNNNNNNNNNNUCCAUUACGUCGCGUGACCUUUCCCAAAGGGGACAGACACAGCAGCUAAGAAGGACACAUGCCGGUCAACCAAUGUGUCUGGAGCAGUAGCGAACUACCAAGACUCAAUGGAUCAUGAAGGGGCAUUUCCUUGUAAGGAGUGCUACUAAAGUUCACGACUAGGUAAUCGAACCCCAUACAUAUCAGGUACGUCACACGUACGCAUGGCAUACCGAUAUGUAUAGAUACAUCGAUGGCAUCACAACAUAACCAUAAACAUNNNNNNNNNNNNNNNNNNNNNNNNNNNNNNNNNNNNNNNNNNNNNNNNNNNNNNNNNNNNNNNNNNNNNNNNNNNNNNNNNNNNNNNNNNNNNNNNNNNNUCGUCGUCGUCGAUGUCUACGAAGAACCCUCCAUUAGGGUCAUUAGCAACCUCUGCAACAUUUAUUAAGCAAACAUGAGUACGAAGGUACUCAGCAAGACUUUAGGAUGACUGACUACUCAUGCAAGGUAUCAAAAGGUAUUGUGGGGUUUCAUGCGGAAAGCCAGCAUUUGACUCGUGUCUAGACAACUUGCAUUUUGAAAUUAGUUUUGACAACUUGAUUUCUCGCACACGAGUCCACUAACACCACAACAAUACACUAUCGUGGAAUCAUUCCGUCUCCCUACGGAAAUGCCGUCCACGACACUCAUGCUUAUCUUGGCAAUUUUAUGAGUAGCCGUUGAAGUUAUCUAUGAACAACAUAUGUCUCCAAGUAGUCCAUAUCCGCGGACGCGGCUAUUCGAAUAGAUCAUAACCCUGCAGGGGUGUACUUCGUCACACACGCUCUCGCCACUUAUCGCCAUGUGCACGUCAUGCACCUCGGCAACCUUCAAGCGGAAGCNNNNNNNNNNNNNNNNNNNNNNNNNNNNNNNNNNNNNNNNNNNNNNNNNNNNNNNNNNNNNNNNNNNNNNNNNNNNNNNNNNNNNNNNNNNNNNNNNNNNUAGGGCGAAUUCUAGUCAAAAAAGCAAUCGGAUACUGAAAUCUCUUCUGUGAAAGCUAAAGCUUUACAGAUUAUAGGAAAGCAAGCACCACGAAGGGCAGUACCCAAACUAUAGGUUAUCUUGUGUCUAGGCAAGCAAGGUCAAGUAGUGGCAUCCUAUUACCCUAAAUGGAAAGCAAAGUAGGUUAUUCAGCCAUCCCUCGCGAACAAUCAGAAGUCCCAGUUUCCAUAACUAAUCUCGCCAAUUUAUCACUUGACCGACCCAGAGGCUAAUCUAUUGUUGGCCCAGGCAAAGAGUGAGAAAAAGCAGCAAAUGGAGUAGCUUGCAGUGAGGAAUGAAAGCUGGUGUUUUACCACCAUUCAGCAAGAGAAGCCCACUGGAACCUUUUCAUAGGACCAUAGAAAACAUGUUGCUUCCUCUAUAGAGAUGACUGCUUCUUUAAUGAAGUUGAUCGUCUAUCUCAAGUGGUGGUGAUCGACUCCACGAAUAGCCUGAACCUGAGAAAUGUAGAUCUGCAAACGGGAACUUCCUGUUGUCUCGAAUCAGGUCUGCUAUUUCUAUUCGUAACUCUCUGGCUGGAAUCGACCAAAAUAGCCCUUGACGGCAAUAAGAGGAUCCUAACCACUACACGGUUCGAAAUAUCAAUCGAAUGAUACCUCAAUUGAACCUGCUGAGUCAGUUAUUGGAAAGAUAUCACUAGCAGUCUCACAGCAAUCUUUAGGAAAAUGCAGACACGGUAGUUUUUUUGAAACUUGUUCAGACACCGCAAGCAACUACCAGUAUCGAUCUUCUAAAGAAAUGACCUUCGUUGCCGAAGUGAUAGACAAACAAUUCUAUAGCGGACUUGGACUAGCGACACAUUUCUCCAUAUAUGAAAUUCAAUUCACCCGACAUCAAAGAGAAGCUCAAGCUCGGGAUCAAAGAUCAGCUACAGAUCGGGCUGGCAUUCAUCAUAGUCGGCAGCUAACUUUUGACUGAAACAUUUACUUUUCACUACAUCCGUAAGAAUCCGAUGGAAAAUGACUGCAACGCAAUCAAUUUCUCCAUCCCUCGUGCGCGCGUAUCGUAUAUAGUUCAAUGAGAAACAAUGCUUUCUGAUAUUCACGAAUUGGAUUCGAACCAAUGUCCCCCGACUCCUCUACCGAAUAAGGAUCGUGAUUCACAUUUCCUCGUUCUCUUUCUAGCUGCCCAUAUGGGUGGCUGCUAUCAUCCCCUUUUGAUAGCUUCUUAUCCGCAUCCGCGAGCAUAAGCGGAAUAGCCUGAACACUCAUAGCGAUUACCUCAACCCUUGUCUUUCCUUUGGCUCCGCUCGGUGGGGGGAACCCAAUGUACCAAUUCUUUCACUCGACCCUGCUCCUUCUUCUUUCUCAUUUGCCUCUUUCCCUCUCUCCUGCUCCCCCAGACUGUCACUCUAUGGCAAAGCUAAAGCUUUCCUGGCGCUUGGUGAAUAAUCUUUCUAUAGGGACAAAUAAAAGCCCAGUUUUGACCUUGCUGCAUAUAACAUCUAGCAUUUCAUGUGUCUGAAUGUAACAGCCAAUAAUCUGGUUUGCAAACCUAUCUUUGCCCUCCUCGACUGCGGGAGCCCUCCAUCGUUGCAGUACAAUAGACGUUAAUUUCAAGCAUAGCUUACUGGACAUACGGUCAAGAACUUCUUGCAGCCUUCGAAAGAAGACUUUAGACAUGACGCCAACACCUACGAUAGGAAUGCCGAAUAGUAUAUCGUCUGCGUAGCAAGAGAAAUAGAUGUAUUUGGUAGAAUCCCCAUUCUCCUCUUGGGCCAUAGCAUCGAAUUGCAAGUUGAGUUGAUGCAGGAAUGAUUGAAUCAAAACAGGCGAGAUCGGUCCUUGUGGAAGGCCGACUUCACUGUUUGAGUAGUCAUUCCCUUUCUUAGAAAGUAUCGGUGUCUUGAGAAAGCAAUUGAUGAGGUCAAUGAGAGGAGCGUUAUCUGUACCUAAGAGCUUAGACAAAUGUUCAAGUAGUAACCGAUGGUCUAUGCUAUCGAAACACUUGACCACGUCCACCUGAACCAUAUAAUCCAUAGACGGCCAUUGAGUUAAUGCACGGAAGAAGGGCCGAGAACCUUGCGGAAGCCCUGCGCAGAUGUGGAAAUUCGUGGAUCUAAUGAGUCAUUGAGUAGCUCUGCCAACGCGGUUAGUGUAAGUCGAUCGGCUGCCGCCGGUUGAGUGAUAGGCCUACAUAAAUGCUCCCGGCCUUUUCUUUGGUCUAAAGGACCUAAACUACUCACUUGCCAAACUGCCUAUUCAUAUGCCCUUUCCUAAACCACUUUGCUAGUUCUAUACACCUGCCAGGAUGCUUCUAUUGCUUGUUACGUAUUUGAUACUGCUCACUAUAAUGGAAUAGCUUUGUACUCAGUACAUGAUUGCUUUAUAGCACCUGUAGCUUAUGCAAACAAAUUCCCUCAGAUUGGCAGCUUUUCAAUGUCUAGCUAAUCCACUGCAUCUUAUAAAUUGUAUACUUAUUCAGAACCUCUUCCUUCGAGCUCCUAUGGAAGACCUUGGCCGCACGCGCCUUAGGCGAUUUCUAUUUUCUUUAGUUUAGAAUUAGUCUUUAAUUUAGGCCGCAGGUUUCUACAAAUUAGGUUAGGCCAAGAUAUUUGAACUUGUGCAAACCAACCAGUUCACCCAGGUUUUUUCCCUGUGGACCGACACCCGAAGUACUACACGAUAGGUCAUGCUUUGCCUUUUGCAGAUGCUAGUACAGUCCUAUUUCAAUCAAAAAGUAGAGUCCUAUUUUCAAGUACAUACCACCGCUUUCUUUUUCUUUGGACUGAAGACCCGCCUGAGUUGAUAGUCCUUACUUCCCACCCGAGACUGACUUGCUUACCUCUGCACCAACAACUUAAAUAGUAGAAUUUCUAACACUCCAUUCUUCUAUAGAUAGCCUAGAAUCGGAACUAGAAUAUGUGCCUGACUUACCUAUUUCCAAGACAGUUACUCAACUUCCAUCGCCGCUUGUACUUCUUUUCCCAAGCCAUCCGUUGGUGGAGACAGCAUUGGGUGCUUUAGCCUGGCAGACAUACUUACAUGAGUUUACCUCUGCCUUUCCAUAGAAAUAAAUUCUUACUUCAAUGAGUGAGUAGCGCUUAGUUGAACUAGAUUUUGAACACAUACUUGUUUACCUCCUUCUUGACUUGGACCUGUCAGUUACUAUAACGAGGGAAAUCUUCAAUGAGAAGAGCUAAAGGAAAUACAUAUUUACAAGUAGUAAUUCAACAAUUAGAACGUUUGGCAAGACUGCUUUGCCUGGAUGGGAUGUGCGAGACUGGAGUAGGGUUACAGGACGGGUCUCCGAGUUUAACUACUACUGAUGGAUUCUAGUUUAGAGAUUUAUCCGAAGGGAUCUAUUCCGGGGAAUGACUUGUGCCCUAAAGGAUGGAUCAAGCAUUAUUGAAGGAAUAGCUCGCUUCCCCCGCGGGAGAGUAUAGAUGAAUGCCUUAAGCAAGGGCGUCUAAGCGUGCAUGUACACUGUUUUUCAUGCCACAACACAUCGGUGAAACCGGAGAGAGCUGAAGAGAAGGGAAACCCCAGAGGCAUUGACCAUUUGGUACAGCCGCUAAUUCGGCAUUUGGUAGUGUCACCAUUUCUCGAAAGGGAAAAAACAUACUUAACAAUUCGAUUGGCAGGACCAAGGGAUAGAUCGAUUGCAAUAUCAGUAUCAUACAAAUACAAAUAGACAUGAGUACAUGAAUAAGGAAACGCAAAAGACACAGAGUAGGGCUAGUCAGAAGCGUCAAUGCAGACGCCAAUGGGUAAUCAGAUCCAUUCCACUCCACUUCUUCAGAUAGCAGUCGAUCCUGGAUCGUCCUCGCUUCCAAACUCCGUAAAUGAAUGAAACUCCUUCCCCGGUCCAUUGCUCGGGUGUGAUAAAAAUACUUCUUUGAAGUUGUAGGAUGCGGGUCAUCGAUCUUCCUAUCGGUCCAGAGGUUAUGCGCCAGCUUGGGAAAGAAAAAGUAAGAUUUGUUUGUCAUAUCACGAUCGGAACUCACAUGUAACUCUUCUUCUUGAGUAGGGGGAAAAGGACACCUAUCACGCGGUCAUGCCUUGAACGCAGUAAAGAAAUUAUAAGCUUCGAAUAAUAGCCACGCGAGUCUCCAAUAGCGUCUUAAGCGUUGGUUUUCUUUGCUGGCAUCGUAAUGGAUUGGUGGUUUCAAGAAGCUAGGGAGUAGUACGCAAAUUUGAAUCCUUUUUUCUAUUUUACUACUUUUUUUCGAUCGACAAGGACGGCAAGAGGUUCUUUUCCCUAGUUCCUAUAUAUCUAAAGCCUUACCGAGAUGUCACGCAAGAACAAGAAGAAAGAGCCCGCCCCUGUUCUGUGGCGGAUAGACUGAGAUGGAAUUAGAGGGAGGAAUGAACUUGAACUUUUCAUCUUCCCCCGAUCCCCCUUUACCCCCUUCCUGACCUUAGUAAAUAGAAAGGCUAGGAAUCAGUCUUCUCCUAUGCCUACACUACUACAACCAAAGACCUACUUGAACGACAACAGAUGCGGAUGAACUCGCUUAGCUGCUCGCUCGGUGAAAGGCUUUCCUGGAAGAAAGUUGAAGACGAGGAACGUAUCUCUCAUCUUCCUUCUCACCUGGUAGAGGACGGGGAUGAACUCCAAGGCCACAGGUCUGGAAAAAGAGCUAACUUUCUGAUUACUGCAAAAAAGAAAUCAAACCAGUUGGGUGAUUCUUUAAAGAGCCUAAAUCGAAUCUGUACUAUUGGUACAAAGCCAUAAAGAAUGGUCGUAACCAUAGAUCCAUCAUCUUCGAGGAGGAGGAAACAUAAGUCCAAUACACGUUAUGGAAGACUAGGGAUUGCUAAUCCGUCCACGCGGGAAGCCUUCUCCCUCUCAAGCUCAAGAGUCAAGAUAGCCCGCCCUAAACAAGAAGCUGCUUAUUCUUUCAAGGAUAAAGCUAACCAAAACAAGCUACGGAUUGAGCGUACACACUUGGUAAUUAUUUCCUGCUACAUCUGAUGAAUUCCACAAGUAAAGAAACAAGAGAAGCUAGCUAAUAGUCCCUCUUCACUUCCAACUAGUGCUUUGCCUAAGAUGAAUGAGUAGUUUAAAGCUUGGAUCCAUGGAUGGGAACAUGAGGUGGGCUAGCUUCGGAUCCACAACAGGUGGAGAGUACCGGGUGAAUCAUAGGAACGAGAGUCGCUUGUUUGACCCGAUGGAAAGCUUUGAACGAAUCCGGUGGAAGUGCCUCACUUGGUUGGGCUUCGAUAGGUGGAAAUGGGAAUGGGAUCGCCCGAGAAACCAUUGGAUCUAGGAAAUUGAUUCAUUGUUCUACCUCUCCCACUGGUGGUGGGUGGCAACCAAAGGACUUGAAUCUAGCGUUUGUUCCGGUUGAGCUUUCAUUCCUUCGAAUAGACGGAUAGCUCUUGGAGGAAGGGAUGAGCUUUUAUCGGAAGGACCUGGCCGAUGCAAUCGAGAGACUGAGAGGAACUGGACUUGGCAGAGGAAUGCAUAGAAAUAUCUGCCUUUGCCAGGAGAAUCCAAAUCUGCCUAAUAGCCUAUGAAUGUGGAAUCCCGUUCGUAUUCUUCCUCAAAGCCAUAUUUGCCUUUAUCUGAUUUCAACCUAUUGAUCUUUACUGUGCAUGGAUAUCUUGACUCAUGAUUCAACAGUUCACAUCCCCAGCGAACUCCCUCACACCAACUGGCAUUAAAGAGGAGCUGUGCCAAAAAGUGCCAUAGCAUAUAUUACUGCUUGCACAAAGAUCGGAAUCAUACCUCUAGCAGGCAUUUUCUGUUACCUAAACAGCUGUCAUUUCUACUUUACUGAAAUAGAGACUUUCAUUGAUACUUGAACUAUUGACCUGGCUAGCACUAACGCUUUGCAAGGUAAUUGGAGACUGGUCCGCUUGAAAUCGCUAGAGUUGAGAAAGGUCUGCUAAUCAUGGUACGAAUUAUCUGUUUAGGUAGGUAUACUACCGAAGCUGUUAGGCCGACAAGAGCUGAAAUAGCGGAGGUGAUUGCCGACACUCUCUAUCUAUAGGAUAAGCAGCUAGAUCGAUUUCCUAAUAGGAGAGUUACUUAGCGUAACAGUAAAACAUUGAAUUGGAACGCUUCGCCCCUUGGCGGAUCUUCCUCCAAGAGAGUCAAUGGGACUUGGUCUCGAUGUCAACUAAAGAAUUGACUGAGUCAGGUAUUCCCUUAUGAAGGGCUAAUGCAGUCGAUUUCUUCACAUCUUCGGUCAAUCGGACUUUUUUCUAGUCUUGCCUUCCUAAAAGGUAUUCCUAUAUCGGGUGAAUGACCAGAUCGAGAUAAGUUGGCCUUCUCUGAAUCUAUCUGAAUCCUUAAUCUAUCAAUAGAAGGACGACGAUACUCGAAGACUUUCCACUUUCAGCCCUAAGAGGGAACAACUCUCAAACGUGAUAAAAGCCGUAUUUUCGGCACCUUCAUGCUCCUUCUUGAAAAAAUGGGGUCCAACCCUAUAAUCUAGUCGUUGGGGUUUUGCUUCGUCUUUCUCCUUAGGGACAAACAUCGACUCACUACAUGAUGGAGUAGACCAAGGCGAAGAACUGAUAUAGAUAGUCAUAUUGGCCUCUCGCACUGCCAGACUUUUAGUUUGAUUUAUUGAUUCAAGGAAUAGAUCCCUGACGAAAUUCCUUUAAAGAAGGACAUCUCCUUCCCUGCCUGCUUCUUUGCCACAACCACAGCUACGGCUAGUAGUAUUCAUAGGGUCCUUUGAUCGCAUUCUUUCCCGCUGAAGAGUCUGAUCCAUCUCCUAUCCUUCUUGGGAAAGCUAUGGUACUAAUGGCUGGCCUAGCUGGCACUUUCUUUAUGCUAAUCAAACUAAAAAUUCUUUGAGUUGAAUAGACGAUGACUGGACACAACAGAACUCUUCCUCUCUCAUAGGGUCACUGACUCAAUUUCAUUUCUUUAAGGGAGGGUUCUAGCUGAAGGGCGGUCCUUUUCAUCUCUAACUCGAAUGUUCGAGCUAAUGUUUCCGGUAGUUGGAGUUGCGGGGAAGCUUCCCGGAUGAAAAGAAGUUGAAUGAGAACUGGCAGAAUAUAUGCAUGGAGAUUGACUUGGUGCGAAGGAAAAUAGUAGAUCUUCCAUAGGCGCUUUUCGGACUACACGCCAGUCUUUUUCACCAAGAGCUUGUUCCGAAAUGGAGAAGUACUUUGGAAUGAUUUUAUUGGGACGCUAGUGAGUUAAUGAGCACUCUUUGCAUGGUUCCAUCAACCCUUUUCUUGCGUGUUCUGAAUCGACUUCUCAUCUAUAAAGAAGAGAUGCCCCGUAGAAGACUCCAGGCCACCGAAGCUAACAAAAGGCUAAGGAGACCCAUUUAGUUCUUUGUUCUUAUGCCGACUAAAGCUAGCGGAGCCACAGCUUGAAUCUCCCUAGAAAUCCCCACUCGUAGCCCAACGGCUGGGUUUGUUAAGCAUAUUCGAUUGGAAGCUCUUCUUCACCGGGUUAAGCGAUGGUAGUUUUAGGCUUGGCUUAUCACCAUAUCCAACCCGAAUUCCGUAGUUCGAAAGGAGAAUUAGGCUACCUGAGACCAACUGAUUAUCCAAAACAUGAGACUGCUUUCUUAGCAAAGCUUUGCUUGGCUCAGCUUAGUCUCUAUCUCUAAUGGCUAGACCAAGACCCCUGGUCGGAUACUUUUAUUGACCUCUUGUUGUUUGCAAAAAAGCUAUCCAGAUUGCAAUAAGUCUUGUCAUCCUUGCAUGUUUUUGACCUGGCAUGCUUCUUGCUUUCUUUUCGUAAGAACCGGCGUUGAAGAGGAGUGUGAUGCCAGGGGAAGUCGACUCGGUUACCGGGUCUCUCCUGUGAGGGAUCGUUAUAUAGUUUUCAUCUGGUAGGUCUUCUUACUUAUGAUGCCUGGAACUUUAACUAGAACUGGGCAUUCCUCAACCGAAACAAUUAGAGAACUAGUUAUUCCCGCGGGACACGAACUUACAUGAAACUAAACUUUAAAAACAAGUUUACUUUUGUUAGAAAAUAGAAAAACCAACGGAAAAGAAAGUCUCAUGUUGCUCCUCAGAAAACGCGUGGAAUAGUCUCAUUGGCCCUCGUCGAUGGGACAAUCCAGUGUAUGUGUUACAAGGCAACUAGCAUUUAGUUCGUGAAAGAAUGUUUCGUUGGAAAAACCAACGCCGACGUCAAGAUCAGUCUCCUUUCUCUUUUCGGGAGCAGAGCUGAAAAAGAUGGGAAAUUCCAAUGAUUCUUCGUUUAUUAGAAUGUCGAUUCCUCACAAUCGCUCUUUGUGAUGCUGCGGAACCAUGGCAAUUAGGAUCUCAAGAUGCAGCAACACCUAUGAUGCAAGGAAUCAUUGACUUACAUCACGAUAUCUUUUUCUUCCUCAUUCUUAUUUUGGUUUUCGUAUCACAGAUGUUGGUUCGCGCUUUAUGGCAUUUCAACGAGCAAACUAAUCCAAUCCCACAAAGGAUUGUUCAUGCAACUACUAUCGAAAUUAUCCGGACCAUAUUUCCAAGUGUCAUUCUUUUGUUCAUUACUAUACCACCGUUUGCUCUGUUAUACUCAAUGGACGGGGUAUUAGUAGAUCCAGCGAUUACUAUCAAAGCUAUUGGACAUCAAUGGUAUCGGAGUGCGCCUCUUAACGAGGGUGAUUUAAGUGCAACGAAAUGUACCGGUGGUUCGCGAAGCAUCUGGCUUACCGGUCAUCUCCCAUUCCCGUCGUCGAGAGACUAAAAGAACUAUAGCAUGCCAGAAACGGGGAGUUGAGGUGGUUAGACCUAUACCCCGAAAUGCUCCCAGCAUAGGAGCCUAUGGUUCCAUUCUUGUUAUUGCUGGAGGUACACAUACCUCUUCUCGAUGUGGUGGAGCGAUAUACGAAAAAUAGAUGCUUAGCCUGCAAUGUCCGAUAACGGGGCUUCAGUAGUGAAUCUAUCGGCACCACAGCAGUGGCAUACAACCUUGGACCUAAGGGCUGGUCCCGUUACCUUUCGGAAUGGGGGAACCCCGUUGGCAACAACCACGGUAGUAGUUGCGGAACUACUGGGCCAAGAGAGGACAACCUGUUGUUCCUGCUCCUCCUUCUUCGCUUCGGGGACGGAGGUCCUACGGUAGGUAAGAGCACGCACAAGCACUUGACCGAAGGGGACCAGCGCUUCUACUCCUCCACCGAGGAGCCGUUCUUGCGAGAAGCAAGGGAUGACAUGAACGGUGGGAGGUCAAAGAAAGAGAAUUGACCUCUGAAUACAGUGAUCCUAUGAUCUAGAUAGACUCCGUCCUUUUUCUUUUAGAUAAGGGUGACUCAAUAAAUUGGGGGUGGGACCUACUAGCAUAAUGCAGGCUGGAACGUGGGAAUUCGAGGUCUCAUGAACGAGUUUUUUUUCGUGGACAAACAAACUUUCCGGUCUUUUUUAUGGAUCCUUUUAGAUCUAUGGGCCGGCCGUUCACAUGAGCAUAGGGAAUCUAUACUAGAGCCUUCGACUUGGCCCCUGGCAGGAUAGGUGAGGAAUCAGUCUUGAUCUGAUCUAUUGGGGCCUACAACUUCGCCAAAGCCGACUAGCAUCCCUUUCCGUGGUGAACUGGCCGUCCCAUACCUUCAUUUUGUCUCAUGUGUGUUGAACAUUGUCUUCCUCGGUUCCAGCUUCACUGAUGUAGGUAGGGCUGGGCGAGAAAGGGUCCCCUCUUGCCUAUUAGUAAGCGGGCCUUCGAUUCCACCGGGGUCUUACGGUCUCAUAGAGGGGGGAGAACUGCCUAACUAAAGAAGAAUAGUGCUCUUUAUAAAUAAGAGUAGGCGUGGAGAGCUUUUUGCGGGGAAACUUGCAAGUCAAGUUUGGGGGGAGGCGGGCGUCGACCCAACCUUAUGAGUAUUCGGACUAUAACAGUUCCGAUGAACAGUCACUCAGUUUUGACAGUUAUACGAUUCCAGAAGAUGAUCCAGAAUUGGGUCAAUCACCUUUAUUAGAAGUUGACAAUAGAGUGGUUGUACCAGCCAAAACUCAUCUACGUAUGAUUGUAACACCCGCUGAUGUACCUCAUAGUUGGGAUGUACCUUCCUCAGGUGUCAAAUGUGAUGUUGUACCUGGUCGUUCAAAUCUUACCUCCAUCUCGGUACAACGAGAAGGAGUUUACUAUGGUCAGUGCAGUGAGAUUCGUGGAACUAAUCAUGCCUUUACGCCUAUCGUCGUAGAAGCAGUGACUUUGAAAGAUUAUGCGGAUUGGGUAUCCAAUCAAUUAAUCCUCCAAACCAACUAAACCGGGGAAGCUGAAGCGGAAAUGCAAUUCUCGGGUGAGGGAAGGGGGAAGCUCCAGGAAGGCUUCGCUCGCUCACUCAAAAAGCUCUAACGCUCAUUUACGAGUGGAGUGCAUAAGCCCUUAUUGAAGUAGGGUGAGGCCUUACUACACGAGCUCGUAAGUCAAGCACGGAACGAACCUUGUCUACGAAGCUUCGCUUCAUCAUCUUGCUUGCUUCUGGCGAAGCUUAACGCACUAUAACAUAGGCAUGCAUGAUGGUAUGGUAGGAAGACUCCUUUUAAGGCCGACCACUACAUAGGAGCGAUAGGAAGCCAAGCCGUCAAAAGGAAAGGCGAGCAGCCCUUAUUGCAAUAGCAAACGGCCUACUUAUAGCCCUAUUUAUACCCUUUCUCGGGGACUUCAACGGGCCUUACAAGCUCAAUAAAUUGCAAUUCUUCACCUUUUCCUCAGACAGUGGGAAUGCAUUUUCUUACUUGAUUGACAUUGACAGAUAUGUGUACCACACCGAACAAGCAAUAUGUCAUAUGCUUGAUGUACCAGCCAAGCCAACUCUUUUUUUCUCAGUUCCCUUAUCCUUAGCGCAAAAGUAAAAAUAAAAUGAAAGAGAGUUUGUAUUUGCAAAUGAAAAUGAAUAUGGAUCUAAAUAAAUUAGAUAAUCAAUCAAUAAAUAAGAAUUGGAAUAGUAGAAAAAAUAUCCUUCGCCCCUUAUCUCUUCAUCGUCGUCGGUUCCGUCACUUGUGGUAUUCGUUUAGAAUCUUGUUGACCCUACUCGCUUACUCCUAUUUUCCUUAUUUCUUUUUCGACAUAAUUAAUUAGAACUUUCUUGAAAGAAUGGGGUUCUCUCUGGGGGGGGGCACCCUCUCUUCCUUUUUGAGAAAGAUGGGCUUGUUUUUUUUCAAUAAGUUCUAUUGCUUUGACACAUUUAGUAUAUAACAUAAUACAUAUAAGAAAAAAGUACUAAAGGCGAAGGGCAUUCUGUUGUACAGCUACUUUGGAUAGUUACAAAGGUAACCGGUAGGUGACUGUUGAAUCGAUAGUAGUUACGGAAGGGGGAAAUAGCUCAGUUGGUUAGAGUGCUGGUCUGUCAUGCCAGAAGUCGCGGGUUCGAACCCCGUUUUCCCCGCCCGAUCUUUCUUUCUUCCUGAGGUCAUACCUCUGCCACUUUACCCUGAGUUUCACUAAGGCAUAUAACCCCAUUCGGGUAAGAGGAUCAAGCAGUGGGGAACAUCUAUUUAUAUGCAUGUUAGCAUCAACAACAUCUUUUUCCAAGUCAAUUACAUCGAUCCUCGGUGCUAGGUACUCAGGUAAGUCUAUCCUGAGGAUAGAACUAGAGCAAGUAAGCUCAUCGGACUAUCAAGUCAGUCAGGAAUUAGCGUAUAGAAACGUAUGCGCAGGCGCAACAAAGCGCUCAUCCCUUGUUCUUUCGCUUGGAAGCUCAAUCCCCUCGCUUCUUCUUUCGCCUCUACGCUCGUGCUUUCAGCAAGUUCGUACCAGUCGUCAGUCAAGGAGGGAGCUCCAACCUCCGCGCCUAGCCGCAGCCUAAACGCUGGUUCUAUCCCGGCCAAGCAAGCAAGGGGAACCCCGGUGGGAAGAGGGAAAGAAAGAUCAGGGGAAGAAGCAGGGUAGAGGAAUUGGUCGACUCAUCAGGCUCAUGAUCUGAAGACAGCAGGUUCGAAUCCUGUCCCCGCCUCUGCACAAGGCUAUCCUUCGUUGCACACCUAAUGGAAAGCACUGGCUAGAUUUCCGAUGAAGGAAGCCGUCUACUAACCGGAAUACUACAGCAGAGGACAAAACUAGGGACUUCGAAAACGAGGAUAGUUUGCCAGGUAGGGAUACCGUUGUUCGAAUUGAAAAAAGAUACCUUUCCCCAGAGAGAUAGGAUUCGAUUAGGGAUACCGAUAAGGAAGGGGUCUGGUGCUCAGGGGAGUACUAGCUCCUGCGUUAGCCUCAAUCGAACCAUUCGCCAUUCCUAGUACUUUUUUUUAGGAGCCGGUGCCGAAACAGAGGUGGGAGCCGUAGAAGAUCCAAUGAACUGUUCCCUUAACAAAGAAAUCGAAGGAAGGGACAAGAUCAAAAAUAAUUUGAUCACAGACUUGGGGCUUUGUUGACACGGGGUUCGUCGGCCCGGCUUUCACUUGGAAAAAUAGGAGAUUGAGUUCCACAUUAGUGCAAGCCAGAUUAGACCGUGCUCUUGUGUCCCCUUCUUGGGAUUCUCUUUUUCAUUCGUAAAGACUCUUUACCUUGCUUUUGGAAUAGGUUCCCCCUCUGCUGUUUACCGGCGAUGUUUUGAUCCUCUUGAGUUGAAAGAGCAGCAGGGGCAAAUGCUUGUACAAGGUCAUCAACUCCUCGGGCAACAACGUCACCUGCUUUUUUAGGUUGCUUCAGAUAUAGAUGGGUAAGGUCUUUCAAAGGCUUUUGGGGAUGAAAAGGUUGGCUUCAAUAGUCUAUCUUGCCUUUCUAUUCUCUAGUGUAGGGUGACAACAGCAUUUUCAUUUUCUCUUUCCUAGAUCCAUUAGAUACUCGUCAUAAAUAGCGGCACGUUAGAACAUUAUCUACAUGUUUCCUUUUCUUGCUUCAUGGCACAUGCCUAUUGUAAAACAUACCUACCGGGAGAAAAGUACCAGUUUGUGAACAUGCCAUUCCCUUUCUUCGUGCACUCAUUUACUAGAUAGUCAGGAACCUUCUUUUGACUUGACCAGCUUACUUUACUAGUAGAGUAGUAGGCCUUUGCUUCUGAACGACCUUACAAAAUGUAUCAACUAGAAAUGAAUCGGUGUCAUAAACGAAUUUCGCUAACCGUAGUAGUAAAUAGCGUGACACCAAGCAAUCGAUCAAAGCCAACUCAAGUUGUAUGGAAGGUGGACGGUCGAAUUACCCAACUGAAAUGAAGAAAGCAAUCCGCAUAGCCGGAGUCCAGUUGGAUAGUUCAGGCUACGGAAGAAGACAUGAUGCCAUUUCUCUUAUCGAUACAGGAAAAUGAGCUAUUAGUAGAAACUACCUGGAAUUCCCGUGAACCAUCCGAGAGUAACCGCGCACCCGAGGUGUUCAAAGCCCCUUAGCAAUGGGAACGGAAUAGCGGAAAUUCCAUACGUUGAUCACCAAUGUUGCAUGUCUUUCCUUAAGCUGGAGUACUUUGAGUUAGAAGGCCUACUUUAUUCGUCCUUUUAAAGCCUACUUAUUCGUCUAGCUAUUUCCAAUUCUAAUAAAUAACCCGAUCAUAUCAUAUCUUGGAAAACCCUAAGACUACCCAAGGUUGUACCCUACAGUGUUACCUAUAGUCUAUACUUGUGUAUACGUUGCCUUCUGGCUCAGCAGGUAGCAACCAGAUCGAGAUUCCUCAUUUCAUCCCGAAGGAAAGCUCGGUGGAAUCACCUAUUUAUACCCUUGUUGGUUGCCCUUCCAAUCAGAAAAAGAACAAAAAAAGCGAGAAAACGUAUGCACAGGUUUCCUGUGCAACGGCUUUCGAGUAUAAUAAAUUAGGGAAAAUGAUGAUUCCCUCCAGCUAAAGAUCAUUCGCUCUUACCUCGUUCUGAGGGGGCACUACCCGGAACCGCUGAUCGAUACCAUCCACCUCUUGCAUUUUAAGCAUAUAGGCGCAUGGAAAGGACGGGAUAUGUCAUACAAAGAAAUUUGAAUCCAAUCACAGUCCUUGAUUCGCCGUAUCGUCUUGUGCAGACAGCAAUGGUGGCUAGUGUAAGUAGGGAUGACGGAUCUGACGUGAGUCUACCGAUUCUAAAAUGGUGAACCGGAUUGUUUUUUUUGAGGAAUCUUUAAAACAGUGACUUUUCUCUGCGCCAACCAGGGGCGGUAGUCCCACGUAUUUAUCUGUUAGAGCUUCGGUCAUGAUGUUCAAAGCUAUGCAAACCUCCACUCUAUGAUCAACAGUAGUAUUAGGACUAAAAUAGAUGCUUGAUUUACCGUCGCUUACCAGCUGGCCAGAUGAGGCGCAGUAAGAAUCAAGACAGUUCUUCAGACAGGCUGCAUUACUUGCAUCAGCCUUCAUCAAAAUGAGGGAGUCGUCAGCAAACAAGAGGUGUGACACCGAGGGGGCGUCCCGGCACACCUUCACUCCCAAAAGAUUAUUGUUCUCCUCAGCAUGAAGUAACAAGCUUGAGAGCCCCUAUGCACAUAAAGGAAAAAGUACGGACUGAGGGGGUCUCCUUUGCGAAGCCCUUUUGAGGGUACAAAACUAUCAGUUUCAUGGUCAUUAAACCGAACAAGGUACUUUACAGAUGAUACACAUUCCAUCAUCAAAGAAACCCAUCUUGGUGCAAACCCCAUCUUAAGCAUUAUUUCUUUCAGGAAGCACCAUUAAUCUCUGGUAAUAUUCCCGGUUGGCAAGCAUUUUGUUAAUCACCCUAUAAAUAACGUUACAUAGGCUUGUCUUUAUUGCGUUACCUUUUCUGCAUUCUCCACUUUUGGUAUCAGCAUGAUAACUGAGUCAUUCCAGCCCUCAGAUAUGUUUUGUGUUCACGGCCUGGAGUACUUCAGUCACUAAGUCAUUCUCAAGCAUCAGCCAGAAACGCUUGAAAAAUACAGCAUGAAGCCCGUCUGGUCCCGGGGCCCUCAAAUCCCCAAUAUUGAACAGUGAUUUCUUUAUUUCGUCUGCUGUGAAUGGAGCCAGGAGACUCUCAUUCAUCUGCUGCGUGACCCUCGCCCGCACCUUGUUAAUCGCAUCCGGGUCUGGAGCUAGGACCUCGGAGGUAAACAAAUGAGAGAAAUAGCCCUAAAUAUGUGCACCGAGUAAGUCAAUACCUUCUAUUCGAUCUCCAGUAUCGCUCAUCAAGUACUUGAUCAGAUUCCUCUUUUUUCUUGCAAUUGCAAAGUGGUGGAAAAAAUUUGUAUUUCGGUCACCAUGUCGUAGCCAAUUGGCUCCGCCCCGCUGGAGCCAUGCUACUUCUUCUUGUUCAAACAGGUUCUCGAGCAGCAGUCAAAUUGACUUCCCCUGCUUGAGCGUAAUGCCCGCCCCUGGUGUGGUGGAAAAAGCCUCGUUUUCUAUUCCUUUUAAAGCUGCUGAUGCGAGCUACCGAACAAACAAGAUUAGUACAAAAAGCCACAACUAGCACUAGCUUUCGUGAUUGCUUCUUUCUACCUUUCUCACUCCGGUAAUUGCUCCUUCUCCAAAAUAUCACUACGGACAAGAUGAGCUAAUAGAAAAAGUUAGGGCAACAGAUGAUAGCGACUCGCCAGACUCGAACUGGCAUAGGAGGAUCGGAUCAAACGAAAUUAGCCUUUCUUCCAUCAAUAGGAAUCGCUUUGAUUUCGCAGUUCAAGAGGAUGGCGGGGGCAACCUCUCUACAUCUGCGGGCCGGUAGGCCAGCCAACUAACUCUUCAAAUGAAGAACUUAUUUCCCCACAUCUAGGAACCUCUCAUUACCAGUCCUCGGGAUUCCGGAGGUUGGUCGGGUUCUCAAAGUCUUUCCACUCAGUCCAGAGGUUUUUCUGGUUCAUCGAAUCUAAUUUAUCCCAGUCAGGCCCGAUUCUCUGGGUCAAAGAAUCUCGUAUAUCCCCCCCGGGUAUAUCUUCCACUCUUAAAAGUUUUAAUUUGGCUUUAGGGAGGUCUAAAAUCCUUCUUUUCCAAAUUUCCCCCAAAUAAUGACUUUUACGUAAUUCCUCAUUACUUCGCAAACUUUUAAGGAUCUCCCUUAAGGUUUUUACAUCAUAUUCUUCUCCGUUUCCUUUUCAGAUGGCAUUGCCAGCACCAUCCGUAUUCCAAAGGAUGUGGCAAUUUUGAGGGCCAGAUUUAUCCAUUAGCUCCGCUAGUAUUGACGAUUUCUUAAUAUAAAUUAUCUCUACUAGUGUCAUAAGCUUCUCUUGGGAUAAUACCGAGGUUUUCCUAGUGGCAUCAAGAUGCACCAAAUUGAAAUAGAUUUGCUCUUUGCUAAGAGGUACAUGAAUGGUAGGAGAUACAUCCAUAUCCAUGGUUGGAGAUAAAUCCAUUGGUGGAUUCGAAGUACUUGGGCCUGUACCUCCAUAAUUUUCUAAUAUCGGUGGAGUCGAAGUACUUGGACCUGCACAUCCAUAAUUUUCUAAUAUUGGGUUAUGCAGACGACCAGGAAUUUUAUAAAACAUAUUAUUCUCCCCAAUUGCAUGUCUUGUCAUAUAGUCAAGAAAAUGAGCUUGGGAUUGAAAAUCGAGUUGCAAACUUAAAGGUAUAGCUGGCCCUUGUAUAGGUUGGAGCUCCGUGAACCCUUGUGGGGCUGGCGUCUCCUGAACUAUUUGAGCAGCCCCCCUUGUGGCUGGGGUAGACUCUCAGUAGUAUUGGUAAAGAAGGGUUGUGCUGCCGCUAAUAAUUCAAAGACAGCCGAAGAAACGGUUCUCAUGGGGUUCAGUCUCACAAGAGACACUUUUCUUCCUCGGGGUGAAGAGGUGGAGUGCAUGCCAGUGGACACCGUCUUAAAAGUGACUCUGCUAAGCGAUGGUGGCGUCUCUCUACUAAUCGCAUUCUGUUUAAGAAUCACUGUUCUCAUGAUCGAAUGACGAAAUAGAUAUACGAACUGUAUAGGAUCAUUCGCUGGGAUGGGAUAAGUGAUUCUUUUAUAGGAUUCUCAUGGGAUCGUAGAAUCAACUAAGGAUGGAAUAGGUAUUUGUGAUCGAUCAGCUUCCAGUAUGACCGAAGACUUUCUAUCUGCAUUCAAAAUAACCACACAAUCAGGUUGUUGGUUCAACCCAAAAUUGAUCUUCUUCUUUCUUGAACGGAAUUUUUUUUUAUUUGCAAAAGAAUUGGUCAAAAACGCCCCGAUCUUCCAUUGAGAAUCAUCGAAACAAUGAGAAUUCACAUUUCUUAAAUAGCUUCUUAAAUAGCUCGCCAUUUCUUCCGUUAUCUCAUAAAUAAAUAAAUGAUUGGUCUUUAAAAAGAAGGAACGGCCUUUUUGACGAAUGGGAGAUCUUAUAAAAUGAAGAGCGUUUCGUAAACAAAUCAGUGUCUUGUCUGAAUCGAGAAUAGCAAUUCCAUUUCUUGAACCACGGAUAUAGACUUUGAAAUGGUGAUCAGCUACCCGACGGCCGAGAUGUGCAUUCGUACAAAGUAAUUUAGUACAGACUAUCGAAAGCAUUGUCAUUUUGCGAUUUGAGUUCCGGAGAUACAGGUGGUAAGUUAUGGGUAAUGCGGGGAACUUUAAGACGAGAUAGGAUACCUAAUAUGGGAGUGGUUUAAGUGAGAGAAUAGCUCCCUUACCAAACCAACUGAGCUAUUUGCCAUGUUUUUGACAAAUGACCUAACUUUGAUGUGAUGUGCCCGGCUAGCCCGGAUCAUUCUUAGAGCAGUCGAGGUUACCGGAAUUACGGCCUUCCAUACAAGAACUGGCACUAUUGUAACUCGCUAUGGGCCUCCUGCCUUCUCGAAAGAAACUGGCUUUUGAAGAAAUUACUCUAUUUUACGCAUUUAGUUGAAGCGGAUUCAAAGAGCUCUAUCGAGCAAGGAAGGAGUAUACUAUACUGUAGCUGGAUAAGCUAGAUACCAAAACUUUGAUAAAGAUUGAGGCAACCCAUUUGAGGAAGAACCGUACGGACCCCUGUGGAGAUGGCUAGAACAAUCCUCGAUGAGGCACUUCGCAUGGUAUCUUGCUUGGCUACCCUGGACACUCGUCUGGAUAUCCUUCCAUGACAAUUAUGACCUUUAAAGGUAUCCAGAUAGUUACCAAAUUCACCUGAACUUUCAGAGUUGGAACUGAUUGGACAUAGUAGUAGGUACCAAAACUCCACAACAACAUUACAUUAACCAAUAUGUGGGCAGAUCCUUCUGUCCAAUUGAGAGUGCAUUGGAUAUAGAAGAAGCUGGACAAGUGAACUCGCUUUAAACCAACUAAAUGCAAUUGUACGGGAAUCAACUUCUCAUUUAUUGUCUUUUCAGUUGAUGAUCCACUUGGAUAUGCUCUUGUGGAGGACUUAAUGAUUAUUCGUUCGCCGGAACCAGAAGUAAAAAUUGUUGUGGAUAGGGAUACUGUAAAAACAUCUUUUGAGGAAUGGGCCAGACCCGACCAUUUCUCAAGAACACUAGCUAAGGGCCCUGAUACUACCACUUGGAUCUGGAACCUACAUGCCGAUGCUCACGAUUUCGAUAGUCAUACUGGUGAUUUGGAGGAGAUUUCUAGAAAAGUCUUUAGUGCUCAUUUCGGGCAACUUUCCAUUAUCUUUCUUUGGUUGAGUGGCAUGUACUUUCAUGGUGCCCGUUUUUCCAAUUAUGAAGCAUGGCUAAGUGAUCCUACUCACAUUGGACCCAGUGCUCAGGUAGUUUGGCCUAUAGUAGGGCAAGAAAUAGUGAAUGGUGAUGUAGGUGGGGGUUUCCGAGGAAUCCAAAUAACCUAAGGUUUUUUUCAGCUUUGGCGAGCAUCUGGAAUAACUAGUGAAUUACAACUCUAUUGUACUGCAAUUGGUGCAUUGAUUUUUGCAGCGUUAAUGCUUUUUGCUGGUUGGUUCCAUUAUCACAAAGCCGCUCCACAGUAGUGAAGUCUCAUCUUUUGUAUUGGCCGAAGUGACAAUAGUCACAUUGAACCCUCGAAUAUGCUCGAAGAUCUCGAAAUGAUCUUCCAGUUCCGGGGAGAAUUCGCAAAACUCCGUUUCCAUAAAGAAUUUGAUGGAGUUUUCCCGUAUUUCGACCGGAGAAUCUAACAUAGACAUUACUGUCAAGAUUCUUACCAAAAAAUGGUACAUUCCAUGCCCUCGGAGAACGCUUUGUCGUGCAAAGUCACUGGCAUAUCCAGUGUCUUUUUCGGACCCCAAGAAUGGAUUGGAUCGAAACGACUUUCCUGCUUGAAAAUAGGGGCCCCUUUGUGUCUGUAUGAAUCUCUGACCGCACAAAAUCUCCAUAGCCAAUUUUCCAAAUUGGAUUCUGAAAUCAGAGGAAGCUUUUGGUACUAAUCUUAUUUCAAACAAUCCACGAACUUCCAUAACAUUGGCGUGAUUCAGUUUGAGCAACAGAUCCUGACGUAAUACAUCUUCGUAAUGAAAAUGGAGUGGAAACAUCAUGGCUUUUCCGCUUUUUUUGAGAAUGAGCACUUUGAACUAUCCGCUUCAAAAAGGAUAGUUGAUCGAACCGAAACCAAUGUCAAGUACGAGUUAUUAAGCGCCGAAUCAAAAAAAGUGUACUUCCUUUACGCUUGAUGUAGGAUUUACCUAUUAAUAUGAAGUUCACUCUUCUGCUGACUUGAGUCCAGAAGGGAAGCGACUGAUUUCCAAUUCUUCUUUGCUAGCGCUUGACUCCUGUGGAAUUCCAUUAAAAAGCUUAAAAUAAAGCCUUUUAUUUGGUUUUUGAGAUACUAGUUAUUUAUAGGUUAAGUUCGAUAUUUCACUCCGUGGGCCGGCUAAUUAAUUCAAGUAAUUCCUGGAGGGGAAUCAAUCGAAGAGAUUGCCUGCCCAUGCUACAAUUCCUUACUCAAAAGGACUAGAGUGCUAAGCUACCCCCCCGGCACCACCACUAUAAUGAAUGGCUCAAACAAAUAGGAGAUGAGAAUAUAAUUGAUCCUUUCUAGAAUAGAGUAUAAAGAGAAGCUUGCCUUGAUAAAGCACAACCUUUCGCACUCCAGUAGGCAUAUAUUGUUACAAGGUUAUGUCCAAAGGUCUCACAAACGCCGGUGCUACAUAUCAACGCGCCAUGACUAAGAUCUUCGAUGAGAUAAUACAUAAGAUUGUCGAGUGCUAUGUAGAUGAUCUCGUUGUAAAGGCGGUAUCCUAUGAAGAACAUCUUCAACAUCUCAGAAUCGUAUUCGACCGCCUAAGGCAACAUGCACUCAAGUUAAACCCGUUGAAGUGCGCCUUCAUGGUCUCGUCAGGCAAAUUCAUAGGGUUUGUCAUUCGACAUCGGGGAAUAGAAAUCGACCCGAGUAAAAUCAAGGCCAUACUCGAAAUUCCUCCUCCUCAAAACCUUAAGGAGCUGCGUUCGCUUCAAGGGCGCCUGGCAUACAUCAGGCGAUUCAUAGCCAAUUUUGCAGGAAGAAUCCAACUCGAAUUAAGAUACCAACCAAGACUUCCCAUUCGCCGGGCGAGAUGAUCGGAUUUUGUUCCCCAUUUUCGAUAAGGUAUUAGUUUAGGUCUCUGCUGAGCCACUGAGCUAGAAGUGACUAUAGUUAUGGGUCUCGUCUCAAUGAAGCCAUCUUCUCCCCGAAAACUCUCUAUUUAGGAUCAAUGCCAUGUCCGAGUCAGUGUGGUUCCCCCGGCGCUGCUGUACUGACCAAGAGGUCUGAUUCAGUUGAAACACCCGAGUUAGCUAUUGAUAAAGGUCACUCAUUGAAAGGUCCAAAGAUACAAAUAAAUUAAGAUGUAGCUUUCUUAGUUUCAUACUUAUAGGAGGCGAUCCCUUGUUUUUUGACCCGGUAGAGCAAUCCGAAUUAGAUUUCAUAUAGGGAUCGUUCGUUUCUUCUCCACUUUACCCUGAUGUUUUAUGAGAAAUCAUUAUUUGUUUUUGUAUCACGCUGUUAUCUUUUUCGUUUCUUGAAAUAUCGAGUGAGAAUCUCAUUCAGCUUUUGAGGAUCCUCCAAAUUGUACUUAAGAUCAAUAAGGUCCCUAAGUGAUGUGGCGUCCUUUCCCUCGCAUUUCAUGAUUUGGUUGAUCCUAUCGGAAAAAAGCACAGUGGAAGGCAUCUGCCCCAGAGCCCUCAUGGGGGCACUUUGCUUAAAGUGUCUGAGUAGCAUUGAACCGAAAAUUUCAUUUUUAUCUAUUUGUUCGAUAACCGCCUUUCGAGCGUCAUCGUCGGAUGAUGGAUACUUUUGUCGUACUUCAUAGGUAUUUUCCCUUUUUAUCUUUUCCAAAAGGUUCACCCCGAAAUCUUGGUCCCGCUUUGCAUCUGUUUCAGCUAGGGAACAAGACUGGCUUUUGGAAGGUUUCCCUCCAUCUGUCGGAUCCAAGAGAGGGCCUGUGGUUGGGGUGGCGCCGCUCUCCUCCGAGCUGAAGGGAAUUUCUAUUAGGUCGUCCCGGGUACGCACUGAACUAAAGAAAAUUGGUUCUAUUAUCACAAAGCCGCUCCCAAAUUGGCCUGGUUCCAAGAUGUAGAAUCCAUGUUGAAUUACCACUUAGCGGGAUUAUUAGGACUUGGGUCUCUUUCUUUCUUUCUUGGGCGGGACACCAAAUUCAUGUAUCUUUACCAAUUAACCAAUUUCUUGACGCUGGGGUGGAUCCUAAAGAGAUACCACUUCCUCAUGAAUGUAUCUUGAAUCGGGACCUUUUGGCUCAACUUUAUCCUAGUUUUGCCGAAGGAGCAACCCCUUUUUUCACUUUAAAUUGGUCCAAAUACGCAGAAUUUCUGACUUUUCGCGGAGGACUAGAUCCAGUAACCGGUGGUCUCUGGCUGACCGAUAUUGCGCACCAUCAUUUAGCUAUUGCUAUUCUUUUCCUAAUCGCAGGUCAUAUGUAUAGGACCAACUGGGGUAUUGGCCAUGGACCUAAAGAUAUUUUGGAGGCUCACAAGGGCCCAUUUACAGGACAAGGCCAUAAGGGUCUUUAUGAAAUCUUAACAACGUCAUGGCAUGCUCAAUUAUCUCUUAACCUAGCUAUGCUAGGCUCUACAACCAUUGUUGUAGCUCAUCAUAUGUAUUCUAUGCCUCCCUAUCCAUACCUAGCUACUGACUAUGGUACACAACUUUCCUUGUUCACACACCACAUGUGGAUUGGCGGAUUUCUAAUAGUCGGUGCUGCUGCACAUGCAACAAUUUUUAUGGUAAGAGACUAUGAUCCAACUACUCGAUACAACGAUCUAUUAGAUCGCGUCCUUAGACACCGCGAUGCAAUCAUAUCCCACCUUAACUGGGUAUGUAUAUUUCUAGGUUUUUACAGUUUUGGCUUGUACAUUCAUAAUGAUACCAUGAGUGCUUUAGGCCGUCCACAAGAUAUGUUUUCGGAUACCGCCAUACAAUUACAACCUAUCUUUUCUCAAUGGGUACAAAAUAUCCAUGCUACUGCGCCUGGCGUAACAGCUCCUGGUGCAACAACAACUACUAGCUUAACGUGGGGAGGCGGCGAGUUAGUAGCAGUAGGUGGCAAAGUGGCUUUGUUACCUAUUCCAUUAGGAACCGCGGAUUUUUUAGUCCAUCACAUUCAUGCAUUUACCAUACAUGUGACUGUAUUAAUACUUUUGAAAGGUGUUUUAUUUGCUCGGAGUUCCCGUUUGAUACCCGAUAAAGCAAAUCUAGGUUUUCGCUUUCCUUGCGAUGGGCCUGGCCGAGGGGGAACAUGUCAAGUAUCUGCCUGAGAUCAUGUUUUCUUAGGUUUAUUCUCGAUGUACAAUGCAAUUUCGGUAGUCAUUUUCCAUUUCAGUUGGAAAAUGCAGUCGGAUGUUUGGGGUACCAUAAGUGAUCAAGGGGUGGUAACUCAUAUUACAGGGGGAAACUUUGCACAGUGUUCCAUUACGAUUAAUGGGUGGCUUCGAGAUUUCUUGUGGGCACAGGCAUCGCAAGUCAUUCAGUCUUAUGGUUCUUCAUUAUCUGCAUAUGGUAUUUUUUCUUAGGUGCUCAUUUUGUCUGGGCCUUCAGUUUAAUGUUUUUAUUCAGCGGCCGUGGUUAUUGGCAAGAACUCAUUGAAUCUAUCGUUUGGGCUCAUAACAAAUUAAAAGUUGCUCCUGCUACUCAGCCUAGAGCCUUGAGCAUUAUACAAGGACGUGAUGUAGGAGUAACCCAUUACCUUCUGGGUGGAAUUGCCAUGACAUGGGCAUUCUUCUUAGCGAGAAUUAUUGCAGUAGGAUAGUGGCUAGGAGGAUUUGAAAGGCAUUAUGGAAUUAAGAUUUCCCAGGUUUAGCCAAGGCUUAGCUCAGGGCCCCACUACUCGUCGUAUUUGGUUUGGUAUUGCUACCGCACAUGAUUUCGAAAGUCAUGAUGAUAUUACUGAAGAACGUCUUUAUCAGAACAUUUUUGCUUCUCACUUUGGGCAAUUAGCAAUAAUCUUUCUAUGGACGUCCGGAAAUCUGUUUCAUGUAGCUUGGCAAGGAAAUUUGGAAUCAUGUAUACAGGAUCCUUUACACGUAAGACCUAUUGCUCAUGCGAUUUGGGAUCCUCAUUUUGGUCAACCCGCUGUGGAAGCCUUUACUCGAGGAGGUGCUGCUGGUCCAGUGAAUAUUGCUUAUUCUGGAGUUUAUCAGUGGUGGUAUACAAUAGGAUUACGCACCAAUGAAGAUCUUUAUACUGGAGCUCUUUUUCUAUUAUUUCUUUCUGCGCUGUCCUUAAUAGCGGGUUGGUUACAUCUACAACCCAAAUGGAAACCAAGCCUUUCGUGGUUCAAAAACGCGGAAUCUCGUCUCAAUCAUCAUUUGUCAGGACUUUUCGUGGUAAUUUCUUUGGCUUGGACAGGACAUUUAGUUCAUGUUGCUAUUCCCGCAUCCAGGGGGAGUACGUUCGAUGGAAUAAUUUAUUAGAUGUAUUACCCUAUCCCCAGGGGUUGGGACCCCUUUUGACGGGUCAGUGGAAUCUUUAUGCCCAAAACCCUGAUUCGAGUAAUCAUUUAUUUGGUACCGCUCAAGGAGCGGGAACUACCAUUCUAACUCUUCUUGGGGGAUUCCAUCCACAAACACAAAGUUUGUGGCUGACUGAUAUGGCUCACCAUCAUUUAGCUAUUGCAUUUAUUUUUCUCAUUGUCGGUCACAUGUAUCGAACUAACUUCGGAAUUGGGCACAGUAUUAAAGAUCUUUUAGAAGCGCAUACUUCUCCGGGGGGUCGAUUAGGGCGUGGGCAUAAGGGCCUUUAUGACACAAUCAACAAUUUGAUUCAUUUUCAGUUAGGUCUUGCUCUAGCUUCUUUAGGGGUUAUUACUUCCUUAGUAGCUCAACAUAUGUACUCUUUACCUCCUUAUGCAUUCAUAGCACAAGACUUUACUACUCAAGCUGCUUUAUAUACUCAUCACCAAUAUAUCGCGGGGUUCAUCAUGACAGGGGCUUUUGCUCAUGGAGCAAUUUUUUUCAUUAGGGAUUACAAUCCGGAACAGAAUGAGGAUAAUGUAUUGGCAAGAAUGUUAGACCAUAAAGAAGCUAUCAUAUCUCAUUUAAGUUGGGCUAGCCUCUUUCUAGGAUUCCAUACCUUGGGCCUUUAUGUUCAUAACGACGUCAUGCUUGCUUUUGGUACUCCAGAAAAGCAAAUCUUGAUCGAACCUAUAUUUGCCCAAUGGAUACAAUCUGCUCAUGGCAAGACGACAUAUGGGUUGGAUAUACUCUUAUCGUCAACGAAUGGCCCCUCUUUCAAUGCGGGUCGAAGCCUAUGGUUGCCCGGAUGGUUGAAUGAUGUUAAUGAGAAUAGUAAUUCGCUUUUCUUAACAAUAGGACCAGGGGAUUUCUUGAUUCAUCAUGCUAUUGCUCUAGGUUUGCAUACAACUACAUUGAUUUUAGUAAAGGGCGCUUUAGAUGCACGCGGUUCCAAAUUAAUGCCGGAUAAAAAGGAUUUUGGGUAUAGUUUUCCUUGUGACGGCCCAGGGCGCGGCGGUACUUGUGAUAUUUCUGCUUGGGACGCAUUUUAUUUGGUAGUUUUGUGGAUGUUAAAUACAAUUGGGUGGGUUACAUUUUAUUGGCAUUAGAAACAUAUCACAUUAUGGCAGGGCAACGUUUCACAAUUUAAUGAAUCCUCCACUUAUUUGAUGGGAUGGUUAAGAGAUUACCUAUGGUUAAACUCUUCACAACUUAUCAAUGGAUAUAAUCCUUUUGGGAUGAAUAGUUUAUCGGUAUGGGCGUGGAUGUUCUUAUUUGGACAUCUUGUUUGGGCUACUGGAUUUAUGUUCUUAAUUUCCUGGCGGAGGUAUUGGCAGGAAUUAAUUGAGACUUUAGCAUGGGCUCAUGAACGCACACCUUUAGCUAAUUUAAUUCGCUGGAGAGAUAAGCCCGUGGCUCUUUCCAUUGUGCAAGCAAGAUUGGUUGGAUUAGCUCACUUUUCCUUGGGUUAUAUAUUCACUUAUGCAGCUUUCUUGAUUGCCUCAACAUCAGGCACGUUUGGUUAAUUUAGUUUGUUUUUUGUACUGUAUCAGCACCUAGUUCAUUACUCUUGAUAGAGAGGGAGGAUCCGCCUUCUUAGAUUUCUUUUUCUAUUUAUUUUUCCAUCUAGGAUUAGAACCGUAUACUUGGUAAUAAUAGCAACGACACAUUAUGGCAAAAAAAAGUUUGAUUCAGAGGGAGAAGAAGCGGAAGAAAUUAGAGCAGAAAUAUCAAUUGAUUCAUCAAUCUUUAAAAAAAAGAUAAGAAGCAAAGUUUCUCCCUUGAGUUUGAGUGAAAAAACGAAAAUUCGAGAAAAAUUGCAAUCCCUACCGCGUAAUAGUGCACCUACACGCCUUCAUCGACGUUGUUUUUUGACCGGAAGACCUAGAGCUAACUAUCGACAUUUUGGGCUAUCCGGACACGUACUUCGAGAAAUGGUUUAUGAAUGUUUGUUAGCGGGUGCAACAAGAUCCAGUUGGUAAGGAUAAAAUACCCUUUCGUAUUUGUAUGGAUUUCUGGAAUUGAUAAUCAUAGAGGAGCCCUCUUUACCAUUCUGUAUAAAUGGACUAUUCUAUUUGUAUAGAUAUGGUAGAGGGGCGUAUCCAACCCUCUUUUAUCCAGUAGUUACCCCUCUUUAGUUUAAGAGUAUAGAGCAGUUUGGUAGCUCAUAAGGCUCAUAACCUUGGGGUUGCGGGUUCGAUUCCCACUACCGGCUCCAUACUCCUUCUUUAUGAUAUAUGCAUGAUAUAUACAUCAUCCAUUUGUAUCUGGAUUUUUAGAUUUCCUAAAAGAGUUUUGGUCUAACAGUUUUUUCUCGGAAGAAGACAAAAAAUAAAAGAAGAAAAAAAUAUGAAAGAAAAGCGUCCAUUGUCUAAUGGAUAGGACAGAGGUCUUCUAAACCUUUGGUAUAGGUUCAAAUCCUAUUGGACGCAAUCUUAUUUCUAUCUAUUCUUUAAAUAACUAUACUAAACUGAAAACAAAGAAAACUUUUUUGCAUGAUUCAAAUGAAAAAUCUUUCUCAACGAUUCCUGUUCUACUAACAAGAGUAGACAUGCAAAAUAACAAGAGUAGACAUGCAAAAUUUAUUUGUUACUGAAGAGAAAACCGUUCCAGCUGUUCCUGAAUAGCUUCCUUCAAAAGGAUUUCCGCUUGCUCGGUGAAUGUCUUGCUAGAAGAUAGAAUUUAUUGGAAUUGAGGUUUAGUAUCUUUUAGGUGUUUACGUAACUCAUCCAGAAAUUUCUUUACCUGUUCAAUUUCUAACGAAUCAAGAUAUCCUCUUGUUCCGGUAUAAAUAGUAGCUAACCGCUCUUCCACUGGGAGAGGAUUUCCUGGGAUUGUUUAAGCAAUUCCCUUAAUUGUCGACCUCUUGCCAAUUGAUUCUGACUUGUUUUAUCGAGAGCAGAGGCGAAUUGUGCAAAGGCUUGUAACUCUGCAAAUUGAGCUAGUUCCAAUUUUGAUUUGCCAGCUACUUGUUUCAUGGAUUUAAUUUGAGCCGCGGAUCCUACUCUGGAAACAGAAAUACCCACAUUAAUAGCGGGUCGAAUUCCGGCAUUGAAUAGAUCCGCAGAUAAGAAUAUUUGUCCAUCUGUAAUGGAGAUUAUAUUAGUAGGAAUAUAGGCGGAAACGUCUCCAGAUUGAGUCUCAAUUAUUGGUAAAGCGGUCAUACUUCCUUCGCCUAAAAGAGAAUUUAAUUUAGCGGCUCUUUCUAAAAGGCGUGAAUGCAAAUAAAAAACAUCCCCUGGAUAAGCCUCACGGCCGGGAGGUCUUCUUAAUAGAAGGGACAUUUGGCGAUAAGCUUGUGCCUGUUUGGAGAGAUCAUCAUAAAUUAUUAAAGUAUGCCGUUCGCGUUACAUAAAAUACUCAGCCAGGGUUGCUCCCGUAUAAGGAGCGAGGUAUUGUAAUGUAGCAGGUGAAUCCGCCAUUUCAGCUACUACAAUAGUGUAUUCCAUGGCCCCCUCCUCAUGGAAAGUAGUUACUACUUGAGCUACGGAGGAUGCUCUUUGACCGAUAGCUACAUAAACACAUAUUACACCUUGCCCUUUUUGAUUUCGAAUUGUAUAUGUGGCUACUGCUGUUUUUCCAGUCUGUCUGUCCUCAAUAAUGAACUCUCGCUGACCGCGCCCUAUAGGGAUCAUCGAAUCGAUAGCAAUUCUAAAUGUUUGAAGGGGUUCAUAUACAGAACGCCUGGAAAUUCUACCUGGCGCAGGAGAUUCAAUUAAGCGAGAUUCCGAAGCUACAAUUUCGCCUCUCCCAUCAAUAGGUUUAGCCAGAGCAUUUAUAACACGACCCAAGUUAUAUACGCUCACGGGUAUCUGAGAAAUUCUUCCUGUUGCUUUUACAAAACUUCCCUCUUGAUGCUAAACCAUAGCUCUAACUGAGUCAACUUCCACAAUUUCUAAGAACGAUAUGCUUUUUUGCAUUUUCCACUGUGAAAGCUUCUCUCAAUCCCUCCCUAGUCCUUUCUUUCCUGGGCACAGGCUUACCUGGUUGACCGCCCACAUUCAUUCAUUGUUCGUUCUGUUGUGGAAUCGAACCACAGAGCUAGCGCAAUUGGGAUUUAGAGUCCCAUGCAUGAAACUAAAGAGGAUUUUCAGUCCUCUGCUCUACUAGCCAGAACCUAGAAGGACACUUCACACCCGAUUUGACACAGCUAGACUGGAAACACUGCUUGUCAAGAGCACAGACCCCAGUAUAGAAUACUUUUUUGAGUAUGUUGGUAAGGUCCGGUCAUCCGCUUCUGUGCUUGCACUUCUGCGUAACUAGGGGUGCAAGUCCAGUACAGCGUACUUUCAUAAUUGAAUCAAAAGCGUCGAUACAUGAAAAAUCUCUAUAUACGAUAUUUAUGACACAGAAUGUUGUUCUUUCAACAUGAUUCCUCAACAAUUUUUUCAUUGUAACUGACUCUCCGUUCUCUCCGUUCCACUUUGGUUUUCGACUAAUAAUUACCCUAAUGAAUUUCUCUUACUGCUUGGUUCCGCAUUGGAUUUUGGAAACUUUUGUUUAGAAAGUGGUGUCACGACCGUGGGGAUAAAAUGGAUGGUUCAGGAAAGUCUAGUGAAGCGGCACGGUCUAAUCAUAUAGAUGACCAUAGUGGUAUGGUUCCAUAGAAAACUACUGGAGGCCAUUACCGCCACCGAAAUGGUUUGCAUGCUCCGUUGGAUGAUUUGACGAUAUCGCAGUAUCAAGCUAGAACGGUUUCAAUUUGUAGGACGGGAAAGAAACCUCAUCCUUUGGUGCACACUAACCGAUGAAGCUCAACCCUCUCUCGAAUUGAGCUAUUUCCGCUUUUUCUAACAAAAAGUUCGAGUAGUUCACUGAAAAAACGGUCAAGCUUUCUUCCAUCCUUCCUAGCUCCUCGAGCUUGCACCCGCUCGACGCCUUUUUCAUUGUUCGUUCUGAGGUGGAUUUGAACCACUCUCUCCGUUUGGAUUUCGAGUCCAAAAGGCCCGGCGAAAGAGGAUUUUCAGUCCUAUGCCCGCUGCCAGCCAGAACCAAUAUUUCUCUGUUAUAUUGUGUUUUUUCUUUGUCAGCUAGCACAAUUUGGAUUUCGAGUCCAAUGCGCUAACGAUUUCUUUAGUUUUCUUGCUCUUUCUCCGGGCUUUGACCAUGUCUCCCGAACAAUUUCAGUACAUAUGGCGCAAGACGAUUCCACAUAUAUAUCGAGGUCGGAAUGGGAUCGGGUGUUUUCACGUCUCACCGUAGUGCCCGGUUUGUCUUGAUUGGUGAUUGAUAAACAAGAAGGAAAAUAGAAAAGUAGAAAAUCUACAUGUUUAUACCGUUGAGGUCCUUAGUUUAGUCAAGUAGGCGAGGGCAUUUCCAUCGCGAAGGAUUCAAUCCAGCCACAGGUUCCCCUACGGCUACCUUGUUACGACUUCACCCUGUCGAAGACCCCACAGUGGUAUGCGCCAAUAAGACCACCAAAGGCCUUUGUGGCACUAGUGGUACACAGAAGUCAUGGGUGAUCAUUGGUCCGAUGCUUCGGGCGANNNNNNNNNNNNNNNNNNNNNNNNNNNNNNNNNNNNNNNNNNNNNNNNNNNNNNNNNNNNNNNNNNNNNNNNNNNNNNNNNNNNNNNNNNNNNNNNNNNNGCGGCACACACCUUUUUCUUUGUUUCGGAGCGGGGCACAUACUAUUACCACUACGUACCACACCACCGGGCGGCUGGCCUUCAUGCCGAGUCUUCCUCCGUCGCCAACUCGACGUCGUCGUAACCAAUUUCAACCAAACCUCCAUGCUCACUGGUACUUUGACGUCACUAUAGGUAGGUCUCCGUGGGUCUUGGGCAGGACGACUUCGGUUCACACGUGAAAGUGCUUCGAAAGGCACCGGCUCCCAAUGGUGAAAUUCUUGCUGAAAGCACAGCUACGUGCUGGCACUCAAUCAAGUAGUAGCGCUGGCACGUCACUCGGCUCCUCGGCUCACUUCGGUGGCAAUUUCUCCUUAGGCGCAUGUCUCAGCAACACAAAACGAGGGUUUCGCUCGUUAUAGGACUUGACCAAACAUCUCACGACACGAGCUGACGACAGCCAUGCAGCACCUGUAUGAAAGUCAGUACCAUCCUGUUAAGGACAGGUUUUGUUGUUCAUAUGUCAAGGGCUGGAAAGGUUUUGCGCAUUGUAUCGAAUUAAACCACAUGCUCCGUCGCUUGUGCAGGCCCCCGUCAAUUCCUUUGAGUUUCGGUCUUGCGACCGGACUCCCCAGGCGGAGUGUUUCACGCGUUAGUUGGGCCCCUGAUCCGCGUAGACCAAGGGCGAACACUCAUGUUA